AAUAAAAAUCUUACAAAAUGUAAUAAUAUGACAUUAAAAUUUUAAAUCAAAGAUAUUGAUUUUGUUUUAUAUAGUAUAAAGAAUUUUCUAUCAAAAUUUCACGUGAUUUGGAUAUUUCUACACCGUUAAACUUGCAAACGGCUCACUACGACCAUUGAAAUUUAUUGAUUUUGAGCCCAUUCAAUCACUAGGCAAAUGAUAUCGAAAAAUAAUAAAAUUUAUUUUCUAGGUACUCCAAAUACUCUAGAUCAAGUUUAACGGAGCCGAUCGAUGAUUCGAAAGUCGCAAUAUCAAAAACGAGCUGGAAGCACGGAAGGCUCCGUGCUUCCGAUAGCAUAGUAGCCUCACUAUAUAUAUAUAUAUAUAUAUAUAUAUAUAUUCUUAUAUAUAGUCUGUCACGCCCCGGGACCGGCGGAGGCCCUCCCGGUAGCGUGCCCAGACCCGCCAUAUGUCUACACAUAUAAGGCGUCUACAAUAAAAGCGGAAGUAAAGGCAAGAGAUAGAACAAAUAUAAGAAAUGAAAUAACUAGCAACUAGAGAUAUCAGAGCAAGUAAAGUUCUAUCAUCUACACCAAAGUAAAGGAAUAAAGCUAGUCAAACAAAAAUAACCAUAAGUAGUACAAUAACUGUCUCUAGUACAAAAAUGGUGGUCUCUAUACAUAUACGGGUACAACUCUCAACCUCUCACCAAAAAGAAAACACGAGAGGUAGACCACCUAUCGAACGAUCCCUCGGUAAGCGCGCUAGCCCGAGGCGAUACCCUUUCCGCGAUCCCUGGCCUCACCCUGAGUGGAAGGCUCUGAAAAACAUCGAGAAAAAGAGGGCGUGAGAACUAUAAUUUAUAAUUCCCAGUGGGCAAUUACUGACCUCAGCUCAAUGCACCACUAGGCCCCAAAAGGAAAGGGUAAGUACAAUAAUAAAAGCAAUAAUAACAGCAAUAUGGAAGCAUACUUAAAAGGUUAAGUUAUUAAACUCAAGUAUACACGAUGUCAUGGUGAUGUACAUCUACGAAAUUACAGUAGUAUGUCCAAUGGCAAUAGGUAAGUGUCAUUAUCCUUUAUCAAUACAUUAUGCAUAAGUUCUGUCAUGGCAACCAAGUAUACUGUGAUGAAAUAGGUAACUGUCAAAUAUACUACAUGUCUCAACACUAUGCUAUAAGCAUGUAAAUGUAAUCCAACUACUAAACCUAUCUAGUAGUGAUUGUUCAUAUACAACACCGUGUCGAUUUCCAUUUCCAAUUAAGGACCUACCCAAGGUAGUCCAGCUUGUGCCGCCUAAGUGCCUGUGGUAGCCCAACAUCCCUACUCUUGGAAUGUGUCUGUCCCACUCGACCCCGUAGGCUUCUCAAUACCGCACGAGCGAACAUAAGUCGCGUAGGCUAACUCCGGAGUGCCGGCUUGUAGGGAGCGACCCUCACAAGCAUGUGCGAAUGAGCACAAAUGGCAAACAAGCGUAGUCCGAGUCUCAAGUACCCAAUCCUCAUGUCUCUAACAUGGUAUAGUUACUAGCAUCCCAAAGAUCUAGUUUAAGUCACAAUGUGAAGUUUCAAUAUUCUCUAGGUCUAGUGCCCCUUUAUGACACUUAGACAUUUGAUGUUCAACAUGUAUUCCAAAUCCCUCAAUGGCCCUAUCCUCUAUGUUCCCACAUGUCCUGAGCUCAAUGCCGCUUGAUGACAUUAGCUCUCUAGUUCACAUACCUACUAAUGGCAAUUUUAUCACUUUCAUGACACAAGUAAACUUAGGUUUAAAUGCAUGAAUCCGAACUCACUUACACUAUAGUAGCAUGAAACCAAGUCUCAUGAAGAAUGCGAAAUGCAACUAUAGAUCCCUCAAGCAACUCUCUAUUACAUAGAGGUCCAAAAUUUCAUCAUACAUAACAUAUGCAUUUUAAGCAUUCUAAAAAUCACAAUAAAUACAUUUAGUAUGAAUAUGCAUGCUUUUCCAUUUUACGGAACAUAUUAAAACCAUAUAUGAGAAUUUCUCAUAUGUAGGCUAGGUCAAACCCACCGAACCGUCGCGUAGGGUCUCGUUUCGCCGAACAAAGUUGUCCCCGAGUCUCAAAAUACCCUAAAAGUAAUGAGCGACAAGAUACACGGGCAUUACGAUCAUCGCAUAAUAUCAAACUUUAACAAAUUUAGCAAAAGGGCUAAAACUCACCCAACGCGUGGAAAAACUCUCUCAAGCUCCAAAUGAGAGCUAAAUCCCUUCCAAUCCAAGCCCAAGGAAGGUUCUAAUCCAACCAAUUUGGCCCCAAAAGCCCUAGUUUCAAAAUACCCAAAAACAAGCCCUAAGUCUCAAAACUAGGGUUUCAUCUUGAAUCCAUCAAUAAAACUCAAAUCUAGAGGAAAGAACAUGAUGCUUACCUCUUAGAAGCUUCAACUCAAGCUUUGAAUCCUUUAAAUCCCAAGAUCUAUCCUCCACUUAGCUCCAAAUCCAAGCUCUAAUGGUGGAAAAGCCUCCAAUACCCAAAAAGGAGCAAAAAGAUGUGUUUAAACUCUAAAAAUCCAAGCAAAAUCAAAGAAAAGGAAUAAGGAGGUGUGGAGAGCUCCCUUACCUUCCUCCUUGCUGGUGCCAAGCUCAGGGAAGACCCCUAGGGCGUGGGGGUACUAAUAGAGAUGCCACAAUUGCGAAAAACCCCCUGCAGAACAAACUGCUCAGAUUCUGCCAAAGUGUUCCGGUACACGGGGAAGUGUACCGGUACACAUCCUGCGAAAAUGCAAACCCGAGGCUCGGGUUCGUAAUCUGCCACAAGUGUACCGGUACAACCAUCAAGCGUGUACCGGUACAAAGUGUGUACCGGUACGGCCAUCAAGAGUGUACCGGUACACUUUGUGCAGACUGCAAUCCGAGAGUAGCCUAAGUCCUACUCUUUAGUGACCUUAGCGCUACAUAAAAUACUACAAUUCUCGGGAUGCGAGCCAUAGGUCGGAACACUGUCAACGACCCACCAGAAAGUCUGGAAAAACUCGGGACACUGUCCAAACACUCGGACCUCGCAAUUUGCAAAGGUCCAGUGCGUCACAUAGUCCAUUCCCGCUAUUUCAUCGGUCCCUUGUUCGGAUAAACGAUCGAUUGAAGCCAAACAAUCUACUCCUCCGCCGCCCCCAAAGCGGCGCAAAUCAGUUGUGAAGAAGAUCCAUUCUUCAGCUCCUACAGUCGUCAAAGAUGCAUCUUCGAUUGAUGUUCCACCAAUAUCAAAGAAAAAUCUUCCUCAACCAUCUCCAAAUGAACCAAUCAGCCGAGAUAAAUCCUCAGCCUAUUUUGAUUGACUCCUCUUAUUCUAAUGCUUCAAACGGAUCACCUCCACUUUCUCCGUUGGUAAAACAGACGCCUUCGGGAAGACGCUCUAGCGUCCGUUUCGCCUCGUCCUUGGAAAAGAAAAUGUCUGAUACUGAAAGAUAGGCUCGCCGAGAAGCUCGUAUUGACAAGAAGCGAGAAGCGGAACGAACGUAGGCAGAAGUUGAGAAAAAUAUGGAGAAGGCAAGAAAGAAGAAUGAAAUAGAAAAUAUGUCAACUCUAAAGAAAAUAGAAGAAGACAGAGGUGAGGGAGAAAGAAGUGGAAAAGAAGAAGAACUAAAAAGAAGAGAAGAAGAGGAACAAGGAAAAGAGAAAGAGAGUGAAGAGCAACAGAGAGAAGGGGAUGGCAACGAAAAAGAAAUAGGUACCUUUCCUUCUUCCGAACCUUCAACCGAAGCUUCAACAUCAGCUCCUUUACCAGUGUCUGAACCAACAGACUCGUUGACUAUUUCUCUUCAAGACUUAUUGACUUCAAGCCGAAUUCAAAUGAAGAGGAAAACCUCUCUGCCUUUAUGUCGGCUGACACUCAACAAAGAUUAAAUGAGUGUCCAAAAUUGUAUAGUAGUGGUCUUCCUUCUUUGGCUCAAAAUACGGAACAAUUCAAUCGGCUUGGGGUGCUCCUGCUUGACCUAGUAGACCAGCCGGGUCUUUCUCCCACAGGUAAAUAUUUUGCAGAAACUUUAUCUUCUCAACUGUCUUCCUUUUUGACUCGGCAACAAACCCUUUCUGCCGAGUUCUUAUCUUUGGAUCACCAUUUCAACCGGGUUAAUUAUUUCAAGACGAAAAUUUCUAAAGUGGCAAUUCCAAUUACUGAUUUGGGUCAACAAGAUAAUUAUCUAGAAAACCAAGAAUCGGCUCUUCAGCAGCGUAUCUCCAAUCUUAAAGAAGAACUUGCUGCAGUCGAGUCGGGCCUUGCCCAAACAUCUUAGCAACGCAUGCUUGUACAAGCUCAACUGAAAGCCAAGAAGGAUGAAGGUGCGAAGCUUCAUGAUCAGCUCUCCCAGUUUUAUAAACUUCAUCCUUUGAUGAAACGUAGAAAACGAGCAGCUGAUUCCGCACAAGUACACUUAGAAACUGAAUGAAAUCAACUUAAAAACUUAUUAUCUUGGUUCUAUAUUCCUUAUUUUGAUUCGGCUGUUGGCUGUACUAUAUUUCAAAUUACAUGUACCUUACUCUAACUUUAUUCACUUUCCAACAUGGAUGGGUAGUAUUUUCUCAGAUAUUUUCCAUUAAUUGGUUUGUUAUACUCUGAUCCAUCCAUAUUUUUUAAGAAGUAUGCAUUACCUCUUGUGAUUCUGCAAACCUGAAAUGGUCCUUCCCAAUUUAGGGACCAUUUUUCAUACACUCGGUCUUUUCGACCGAUUGAAAGUAUUAGUCUUAGAACUAAGUCCCCAAUAGAAAAGGAGUUGGCUUUGACUCUUUUAUUAUAUGCAUUACUUGGCUCUGAAAAGCUUGUAGAUGGUCAAGUGCUAAUAACCGAGUCUCAUUUAUUUCUUCUAAUUUUUCAUUCAUCAAAGUCUUGUCCUCGCUUGUCGUCAGUUCCUUUUGCCUUUCAACUCGUAAGGAAAGAACUGCUAUCUCUGCUGGAACUAUGGCCUCAUGGCCAUAUACUAAUUGAAACGGUGUCACUCCCGUCGCUAUUUUCACUGUUGUUCGACACGCCCAUAACACUUCGGAAAGCUCUUCAUUCCAUUUUCUCGGGUGUCUUCCAAUAUGUCGUUUCAUAAGAUUUACAAUAACUUUAUUCGCCGCUUCAGCUUGCCCAUUGGCUUGAGCGUAAUAGGGUGAUGAAUGAACCAGCUUGAUUUUCCUUGACUCCAUGAACCGAGCAAAUUGUUCCCCAAUAAACAUUAUCCCUUGAUCGGUUGUAAUCGUUUCGAGGAUUCCAAAAUGAUGGAUUGUAAAAUUUUCUACAAAAUCUAUAAUAUCUUUAUGAGUGACCAGUCUAGUAGGUUUUACUUUUACCCACUUAGUAAAAUAAUCGACAGCCACUAUCAAGAACUUAUGACCAGCCGAGGAGUUCGGCUGAAUUUCUCCAAUCUAAUCCAUAGCCCAUUCUCGAAAAGGUCAAAGUUUAAUGAUUGUAUGCAUCUCAGAAGCGGGGACCUUUUGUAUGGAGUUAUGAAACUGACAAUCUUGACAUCCUUUAGCGUAUUUUAUACAAUCUGCAUGCAUAGUCAGCCAAUAGUACCCGAGGUGCCGAAUUGUCCAUCUCAAUCUUUUUCCUGCUAGAUGAGCUCUGCAUAAUCCUUCAUGGAUUUCGCCCAUAAUUAACAAAAUUUCUUUAAGUCCUAAACAUUUCAAUAGCACUUCUUCGGCUGUCCUCUUAUAGAGCUGCCCAUUUAAUAGACAAUAGUCGAGUGCUCUUUUUCGAACAUAAUAUUCAACCCAUUUAUUAGGGUUAACCAACAACUCAAUCAAAGGCUUUCUCCAGUCUUCCUGAAUUUCGAUAAGAGCAAUCAUCAUCGGUUCUCGUAUAUGAACCGAUGGAAGAAGCCUUCUCUCUAUUUUCACUUGAUCUCUUUUCGGCUCUUUGUACCUUGAAGCCGAUUGAGCCAAAUCAUUGGCUUGCUCGUUUUCUUCUCUCAACAAAUGCACCAACUCUGCUUCCCGAAACUACAAAGUAACUUUAUUGUUUUCUUUAAAUACUCUUGCAGAUUUUGAUUUUCACAUUAGUACUACCCAUUUAUUUAUUUAAUCACUAGUUGUGAAUCACCGAUAAUUUUAAGUGAUCAUGCUUCUAAUUCUCGUAAAACUUCAAGCCCGAUUAUCAGGGCCUCAUAUUCAGCUUGAUUGUUUGAGCAGCCAAAAUUCAGUUCAAAAGCGAACGGAUGAGUAUAACCUUCGGGAGACUGUAUUACUACUCCAGCUCCCGCAGAUUCGGCUGUUCUUAAACCAUCGAAGUAAAGUGUCCAAGGUUGACAAUUGACCAAACUUUGUUUCGACUCUUCAACCUUGACACAAGGAUGAUCAGCCAAGAAAUCGGCUAUUGCUUAUCCCUUGACUGAUUUUGCCGGGACGUAGUUAAGAGAGAACUCAGACAAUGCUAACAUCUAUCGUCCAAUUCGCCCUCUUAAUACUGUGAGUUAUGCAGAAACUCUAGGAUCUUUUAUCUAGAUACUAUCAAACACCUAGAGGGGAGGAAUAGGUGUAUAGGCCAAAAACCACUGCCUAACAAGUUUUAAAUCACAAUCAAAUCUAAUAAAAUCAAACAAAAGGUUGAUCGAGCAGCCAUCUACAUGAUAGGCUUGACACGAUCAAACCCCUCGCAUUUGGACAAUUAAAAAAAUAAAAUAAAAUAAAAUAAAAUAUGUAAAAAAUAAUGAAUAUAUUUUGAUUUGCCUUCUUCGUGAUAAGCAUUGUUCGAAUGAAAAGAGUAUCUAGCUCUGUAUAGGGCAAAUUUUUCAGUGUAACAUAUGCAUAUGUCUUCAAAACUGGAUGGGAGGGAGAGGGAGGGGCGCUUGCUCUCCAAAACUUUUCAGUGUGACAUAUGCGUAUAUCCUCAAAAUGGGAUGGGAGUGAGAGGGGUAUCUUCACAUGUAGUUAAGCGGAACCAUCUAAGAUGUCUUUUAUUUUCUUUCUUUUUUUAUUUUUUUUUUUACAUCUUAAACAACCUGAUAUGUCGUCGUUGUCGUGCACGACUGACGUAAGGACGAAUCAGCAUUUCACAGGUAAUAAUUAAUUGGAGGACCAAAAAAAAGCAAAAAAAAAAAGACCAAAAAAAGCAAAAAGAAAUUAAAAAAAAAAGCAAAAAAAAAGAAAGAAAAAAAAAGAAUAAAAAUCUCCCAGAUGCAAUGAAGAUCUCGCUAGCAAAAAUAGGAUCCCCGCUGUGAUAAAACCUACUUUAGGCUCACAAGAAAAAAUGAGCUGAAUGCUUGUGGCGAAAACUCUCGCGGGCGCUUGAUGUCAUAAUAAAAUAAUAAAAAUUUCGCAAACGAUGAAAUACUGAUUCAUCCCUACAUCAGUCAUGCACGACAACAACGACACAUCAAGUUGUUUCAAGAUGCCCAAAAAAAAAAAAAAGGUUAUCUUAGAGGGUUCUGCCUAACUGUAUGUGAAGACACCGCUCUCCCUCCCAUCCCAUUUUGAGGACAUACGCAUAUGUCCCAUUGAAAAGUUUUGGAAAACUCUAUCAACUACAUGAGAGGAGCACCCCUUUCCCUUCCAUUCUGUUUUAAAAUCCUACAAAUUUGUCAUUUUAAGGAGAUCUUUAUGCGUAAACUGAACAAAUGGUUAUCAAGUCGUUAAACUUUUCAUUUUAAGGAGAUCUUAUAGAUGGCGAAUGAUUUGAACAAUACCUAUCACGAAGAUGGCAAAUUAAAUAUGUUCAUUAUUUUUAAAAAAUUUUAUUUUUAUUAUUUUUAUUAUUUGUCCAAAUGCGAGGGUUUGAUCACAAAGAUGGCCGCUCGAUCAACCCUUUAAUCGUAUCGAACCUAUCGCGAAGAUGGUUGCUCGGUAUAGGUAUUAGCAAUGCAUACGCGGGUUUGAUCGUGUUGAGCCUAUCACGAAAAUGGCCGCUCGAUCAAAUCUUUAACCAUGUGGAGCCUAUCACGAAGAUGGUCGUUCGGUAUAGGGAUUAGCAAUAUAUAUGCACGAUAAAAGUGGCGAUUUAAUGUCGAAUUUGAUCGGUUCGAACUUAUCGCAAAGAUGGUCGUGUUGAUCAAACCGAUAAAAAAAUCGCACUUAUACUAUUUGUAUGCAUGCGUUACCCUUUGUCAUUGGGGAAGUUGCCAUUAUCGUCGUUGUCAUUGUCGUCGAAAUCAUCGCAGCCGUCACCAUCGUUAAUUUGCUUCAACUCUUUUUUUCUUCUUUUUUUUUUUUACUUUCUUUUUCUCUUGUUUUUUUCUUCUUUUUUUUUUUUUUUGUUGGCCUGAGAGAGGAGGGACCCCAAAACCCCCUCUCUCUCUCUCUCUCUCUCUCUGUACGAACGAGAGAGAGAGGGAGAGAGAGGAAGAGGCGGCCCCCUCCUAAUGCCCUUUCUUUUUCUCUUUUUUUUUUGCUUUUUUUUGUUUUUAUUCCUUUUUUUUUUAAAAAAUUUAUUUUUUUAAUCUCAUGUUCCUCUUUAUAGUGAUUUUUUGACCUUUUUAUUAUGGAAAAUAAUUCAAAAUUUUUUGAAGAAAAGCUAAUAAUAUUUUUCUUUAUCUCUUUCUUUGUUAAUAUCUAGUCCCCUAAGAAAAGUAGCAAUCAAAUCACAAUUCAUUUUUUUUUCUUCUAUAUCUUCAAUUUUGAAUUUGAAUUUUUUUUUUAUCUCAAACAAAAAUUUUCAUAAUUUAGCCCCUAUUAAACCAAAGAUAAUGAAAACCAACAACUUGAUAAACCAAUUGUUUGAAGUUUGACCGACCGCUCCCGGCACAAGUAGCAAAGGGCUUGAUGGUUGGUACCCGAGAUCCCAAGUUCGAAUCUUAACUGAUUCACAUUUCCAACUAAGUUUAUUUCUAAAUGAAAUAAACGAAGUGAGAAGCAUGCUACCUAUCUCUCAAAAGAAGAAGAAAAAAAAAAAAAAAAAAAAAAAAAAAAAAAGAAAAAAGGUUUGAAGUCUGGAUGCCACAAAGACUUCACAAGAAAUAUGCUUGUAACAAUCCACAGCCCACAAGCAUAAAAUCUCACAUUUCUCCUUGGAAGCCUUGAAAGCUACACCAAACCCAACUCUACUACAAGCAUAAUAAUGAAACCUUGUAGUCUAUUUAAAGAGAUACUAACUAACAAGGUUUCAAAACACAACCUUAUACAGGAUUUCCUUCAAUUUAAACAUUUACUUUGCACCGAUUGCGCUAUUUGAUUCUCUUACAAGCUUUGUUGCCAUUCUUGUUUUCUAACAAUAAUAUUAGCGACAACCUUCACAAUGUUAAAGCCUUUGGCAGCUUAUGUGUGGAAUCAACAACAGUUACAUGAGAGGGUGGCGAAAUCUAAUGAGCCAAACCUGCGGCGAUGGAUGCCGAAUCCAUUUUCUCUCUCUUCUCAAGGAUCGAAGACAAUGCCUUGUCAAUCUCCGCAAACACGUCUUCCUUGCGGGCAUUGCCAUUUACCUGAAUUGAAUAGUGAAAGAGGACCAAAACUUAAUGCAGUGUGAUAAAACACAGUAUGGUAAACGAGUUGGUGGGCUAGAAUACUCUUAAGAGUAAACGGGUUGUUUUAACACAGAAUCAUCCUCGAAGAUGGAGAUUUUGAAUUGAUGAUCGGCAUCAUAAAAAGUGAUCUAGAGUAUUUGAAAUACUUGGGAACCAAAUUUCGUGUUUUUUAAAAAAUUAUUUGCCUAGUGACUGAAGGGGUUCAAAAUAAACAAUUCUUUAUAGCCUAUAUGAGUCUUUUGCUCGUUUAACACUGCAAAACAAUUUAAAUCUAUUGAAAUUUUUUAUAGAAUUUUUUUUUUUUUAACUAUUCAGAUCACGCUUGACAACUCUGAUAUUGAAAUGAAAAAUCAUAACCACUACUUUCACAAUGUUAUUCAUUUGCGAUCAUUUGUUUUGUAAUCACAUAAUGGACAUGGUAGCGAUUUAAAAAAAAAAAACACGAAAUUCAAUAUCUAGAUGCUGAAAAUACUCUAGAUUGUCAAUUCGAAUGCCCCAUCUUUGAAAACAAGUUGAUAGUAUGGUGGCCUGUUUACUUUUAAGAGUAUUCUAACCCAACUCAUAAUAAAAAUAAACAAUGCUUGAGCUAACAUAACAUUGUAGAGUAAAUCAAUGUAUAUAUAAAUGACAAAAAAAUUGCUCAGCGAGUCGUUAUUAGACAAAGCAGUGAAUUCAGAGAGUUAUGGUUUUAACCACCAGACAUUCAAAAGCUUAAGCAGCGUCUAACCUUAACCAAAAACUAGCAACAAAAUCGUGAAAUCAACAAUAGUUUUUGAGUUCUUUUGACUAACUGCUAUCUGAAUCCCCAAUUUCUUUGCUUAAACAUAUUAGAGCCUGCCGUUAUUUGAUUUUUACAGUUGGAUCCUUUAUGUGCUAAGGAUCGUCAAUCACACGUGGCCAUUAACACAUUUAGUGACCUCUUUACUCUUCGCUAUAAACAAAUAACAUGUAAAUGACGGAUACAGAGCAAUUAACAUAAUGCAUAGUCCCGUGUAGAGUUCAUGUAACAACUGAAAUCAAUGAAGACAGGAAUAAACGAAAUCCAGGAAGCAUAUGAUAAUCCAUUACGUUUCAUUAGAACAAUAGAUCUAGCAGAUAUUCCUAUUACGUUUGAUUAAAAUAAAGGAUAAUUUGAUUUCCAUUGGAAUAGAAGUAUUCUAACAUAAAAUUGGUUAGCCCCAUCAAUUGGGCAGCUCAUCGGGAUAUUUGGGCUAACCCAAAUCUAAGAAAAAACUUCGCUUUUUUGAGGUGUGUUUGGUCGAAUAGCGGGAUGCAUGCUACUUCUUUGGGGGUGCUUCCAGCAAGAAAGUAGAAACCAGUUCACUAGUCCGCACGCAUUUCAAGACCAAGUGAAAGAACGUUAUUGGACUUUAAAGAAAGAUGAUAGUCAGAUCUCAAGAGAUGUAUCCCGAAAAAUAACCAAGUAUGAACAACAAACGAUUAACCAGUUAAUCAAUAUAUAAGUCCCCAGAUUUAUGGUGCAGAAAAGAAAGUGAUAGUCUUUACAACUGAAUUAAUUGUUCAGAACCGAUAAUUCCUCUUAAUGUGUUCUUGCACGUCGACUACAAAGUGUACAUGAAAUCAAAGAUUUUGAUCAUAUGAAAUCAAUUUAAAGAAAAGUCAAAUUAUGAAACCCAUAUAAACAAAUUAAGUACAAGGUCAUUAGUACAAGGUCAUUAUCAAUGAUUUUUGUUCAUAUGAAAUCAAUGAUAUCGGUAAAUAUGAAAUCAAUAUAAACAAAGGUUAUGGAAUCAAUGAUUUUGAUCCCAUUAAAUCAAUAUAAACAAAGGUCAAAAUAUUGUGUUUGAGAGGGCUUUCUUUGUAAGCUGAAGGUGACCUGACCCUCUCAAGCAUAUAGAGUGAACAUUCCCAACAAUACUUUGGAACCUAAACCUAAGAUCCUAGUUUUAGUCCUUUUGAUCUUCAAUCCACUUAGUCUACCAAUUUUCUUCAAUAACAGAAGGUUAAACCCAAAGUAAAUAAGAAGCAAAAGCACCAAAGUAUAAUCCUGGGGAAAUUAUCACCCAGAUUGCAGUUGUGUCUCUACAACCAAGAAACUUUAUAUAAAAGCCGCCUAAAGAGUGAACAAAGUUGUUGGAAGCUAGAAUCAAGAAUUUGCUCGUGGACAUAAUCCCAUAAAUUUGAGUAUACAAAGAUCAUGCAUUUCUUUCAUCUCCUUUUUAUUAGAAAUUUAUAAUGUUUAUGAACGUCCACCCUUCUUAAGGAAAAUUGGAAGAGAGAGAGAGAGAGAGAGAGAGAGAGAGAGAGAGAGAGAACCAACAGGUUACUCUUCUCUGGACCCCAUAUUGGCAGGAUCUUUGCUUUAUGGGAUACUUGUAAUCAAGGAAAGUACUACUUUGCUAUCCACUCAUUUUUAGCACCCUAUCUCAAAAAUAGCUAAUUCCUUAAUUUAUUAGUUAUACUUUCACUCAUAUAAAUUUCAUUAAUAAGACCAUAGUUGUUCAUAGGUUAGACAGUUAGAAACCGAGACGUCAUGCAAGUGUUCUUGGCAAUCUGAAGUCCAUGUAAUACAUAUAUAAAUGCAUUGCAUCACAGUAUUACAUUCGCAAACAAAAGUCCUGUUAGAUAUAAUAGAGAGAGAGAGGGGGAGAGUAGUUAUGUACCUUGUAUAUUAUGUCAUCAUAUAUUGAAAGUACAGAGUCGACAUUUUGAUAAUGAGUCUGCAACCUCAACCUUACCUAUGAAUAAAGAAAAGAAAUAGAAAGCAUAAAUAGGAGAUCUAUCUCAAAUAAACCAUGUUGUUUGUCUAUAUCAGAUAAAAAAAAAUGCGCAUUAACUAACUGACAAGAAAAACAGAAACCUUAGGGCUCGUUUAGGAUCAUGUUUGUUUAUUAUUUUUUUUAAACACUAAGUCUAUAUAAUUUGAUAUGUUGGAGGAAAGACUUUCUUUUGUUGACUAGCUUACAAUACAUCCGGCUAAGUAAUAGAUGAUAACUUGUUUUAAAAAAAUUUGGAAGCAAAAAAAAAGUUGCUUUCAAAUCUUUAUUUUUCUUUUGCCAAGUAAACACUUCGGAUGAAAUUGUUGCAAUCAAUCCACUAUCCAAUUCUGCAUUUUUUUUUUAUACACAAAUUAUAUUUAAAAAAAUAAAAGACAAACACAAUGUCAAACGAGGCCUUAGUAAGCAUUGUUUCAAUUAUAACAUAAUCAUAGUUAUAUCUGUGCAAAGAAAUGUCAAAUUAGCACCCACCUUACAAUUUUUGCAUUUGAGGCCCCUGCUGUGCCAAGUAAUUAUUACAGGUAAUGUGAGUAGAUUUAGUGUUUAAUACAGAAUAAUUCUUGGAAACCAUAAAAGGUGAAUACAUUGUUUUGUAAACUUGAAACAGAAUCAAUAGAAUUUUGUAACUAAAGAAAGUAUAGUACCUUUUCUUCUGUAUCGUCAAAGCGUUGAGUAAGCCUUGAAGCGAUUUCCUCAUUCUCAGGUGGAGAGUACUUUAAAUGAUAUAUUCUUCCAGUAACAGGAUCAAGUCUCCGUCCGACCACUCUCUCAAUAAGAAUUUCAUCGGAAACCUGCAAGAACAAUUUAGUAAUAAAAAGCGAAACAAAGUCCACAAAUUGAUUACUCUUUGAAACAAAAUUCUUACUUCUAGAAGAAUGAAAAGAUCAGGUCGAAUUCCAAGAUCCUCAAGUGCCAUUGUCUGAGAUAAGCUUCUCGGAUAUCCAUCCAACAGCCAACCAUUUUCUUCAGCAUCAGGUUGCAUGAGCCGUUCCUUCACCAUCUGAGCACCAAGAAGAUAUGUUGAAAACAGUUCGACAAAAUUCAUGAGUCUAAAAAAGAAAGCUAGAUAUGCGUAUUAAUUAUAUACCAAAACAACGAUUUCAUCAGGGACCAACUUGCCCUUCUCCAUGUAUUCUUUGGCCCGCUUCCCAUUAUCAGUCCCAGCGGCAAUUUCCGCCCUAAGCAAAUCCCCAGCAGAAAUGUGUACCAGCCCAAACUGCAUAUCGGAAUUCAUUCUGUCGCUAUUCAGAAAGGAUCCACCGCACAUCGAUCCAUAAUGCAAAUGAGUCACGAAGGCAAUAUAGAACUACAACUAGGACACCGUAAAUGCAAAGUAUGGAACUACUACUAAGACACUGGAUAAGCAAAAGGCGAAACUACAACUAUUAUGGGAAUCAGAAAGUUAAACUUCGCUUCCUUCACUAUAUGUAUUUCAAACAGCAUAUUAAACCUCACGACAUCACAUGGUGAUAUAAAUAAGAGAAUAAAAAAAAUCUAAAACAAAGCAUGAAAGAGUUACAUUACAGCAAAUGACCCACAGAAAGGCAAUUGCUCCGAAUAUAAAUAAAGAGAAUUGAUGUUAAAAAAACACAUAAUUCAAAUGGAAUAACUGAAAGGAGAAAAAGUCUAAGGGAUCCAUAUACACAAGCAAUAGAACAUUAAUGUUAUGUAUAUGCAUCUGCCCAGAAUGCGCAUUCAAAACAAAAGAGCUACCUUUUUUUUUAUGAGCUCACAUUGUGUUCCUUUUCCAGAAGCCGGCGCCCCCGAAAUCAUUAUCCGCAGUGGUGCCGGUUUUGCCUCAGCUACAACCUGUUUGAGAUGAUAAUCAGAAAGAAAGCCUAAACAAAUCAAUUACAUUCUAGUGAAACUAAGUAAUGGAACAAAAAGAAAGAUCCAAGUUUACUGAAAAAUCACCAACAAUUUUAUGAAACUACGUAGUUCACACACAAUUGAAACUACGUAGCAAUUUAAGAUAAUGAAGCAAUACCCAGAUUUUUUUGAAAAAAAUAAUUUGAUUUGAAGCAAGAUCAACACAUUGUUUCUACAUUUUCUCACAACUUAUAGAUAAAAGAGUAAGAACAAGCAAUCAAAAGUAUAGACUCAUUUGUGUAGCUUGCAAAUAAACUCUCAGUGAUCAACAAAAAGGAAAAGGGUGCGGAAAGAAAGAUCUAAACAUGCUAAAAUUUAUCUUUUAAGACAAAUAAGUAAAACCUAAAUAAAAAAAAAAAAAAAAAAAAAAAUCCAAUUUUUAGCCGGACUAAUAUGCUCUCCUCCACAAUUUAAACAAUUCAAGUUAAAAAGCAUGAUAGUCAGCCUUCAAAAACAUCAUACUCAUUGGUGAAUUCGCAAAGAAACGCAAUGAUACUCAUGGUGGAGGAAACAAUUAACCACGUCUACUCAGAAGGAAUAAGGAAUGGAGAAGAAGCUCUAAAUACACAAAAACUAGUUCUUUUAAGCUAAUUAAGCAAAACCCACAUCAAAAUUAACAAAAAAAAAAAUCCAAUUUUUAGCAAAACCAAAUGCUCUCCUCCACAAAUUUCGCCAAUUUAAGGACCUCAAAACCAAUAUACUCACGGCCAAAGCUUGUAAACAAACCAAAAAGGAGACCAAAUCAAAGGGGGGUGAAGCAACUAACCGGGGAUGCACGAGAGGUCGAUUUGGACGGAGCGUUCCAUUUGAGCCCAACGGAGAUGCGCUUAAGGUGUUUGUGCUCGUGCCAAAGAGAGGCGUUUGAGGCCACGAACGAGUGAGGCGAGGAGAGAGAAGUGGUGGGCUUAUGGCUUCGGGGAGAAGCCAAAAUCGGGCUCGGCUUCGCCGCCGCCAUUGGAGAGCCCUCUCGCUCUCUCUCUCUCUCUCUCUCUCUCUCUCUAAGAAGAAUACGGGGGAGGGGGGAGAGAGCUCAGAUGCCGUGGUCGCUCAAAACCAUCCAACGGUUGUAAUAACGCCGUUAUCGUCGAACAAAACGGCGCGGUCUACGCUGUUACAGUCAUAUUUUCUUGCACCGGGUGCAUACGUGCAACUUACGGACCACACCCAAACUUUGACAAUUUGUUCAUGAAUAAUUAUCUUAUAAUUAAAAUGUGAUUACUCCCAUUCGUUUGUAUAAAUUAAAAAAUUUAAAAUGCAUGGAACACAACAUAAUUAUGAUUCAUUUUGAUUUGACUAUUUAAUAUUUUAUAAUUCUAAUUUUACUAUCUAAUCCAUAAAUUUGUUUGUUUUAAGCUAUUUUAUAACUCUUCUAUUUUGACUUGUUGGAGCAUUUUAAUGUGAUUUAAGCAACUAUAUUUUGAUUGAAGUAAUUAAUCUAUCUAAAUUUUAUAACAAGAGAGUUAUUAAAAGACUUAAAUUAAACAAGUAUAGUAGCCAAAUACCAACAUAAAACUUUUGAAAGAUUAGAUAAUUAUAUAAAAAUGAGUCAAAUUAAGUUGUGAUAACUUCUAUAUAUUUUUACCUAAACAAAUUAUAAGCAUUAAAAAAAUUAUUAAAUAAGCAUCAGGUAGUCCCAGAAAAACUAUAAUAGAAAAGAAUAUUAUUUAUAACAAAAUAUUAUUUAAUUCAUAAAUAAUAGGUGUCAGAAAAUUAUAGUUAUUGAAUCACAGACCUUGUGUGUUAUAAAAAUGCAUCUAAUUAAUUAAAUUGUAGAAUAUUUUGUUUAUAAAAAGGAAAAGUUUUAGGUGGACCUGGUCUAUGGAGCAGAUUAGACAAAAAAAAAAUAAUUACUUAUAUAUUCCUGAAAAGUUUUCGACUUUUUUAUUUACCAUACUUAGAAGACUAAUAUUUUUUUAAAAAAAAAAGGUAGCAUGGUACCCGCUUCAUUCAUUUAGGAAAUAAAUUUAGCUACAUGGAUUGAAGUAAGGAUGCAAACGGAUCCGGAUUGGUGAAGCUUCCGCCCCGAAUAGGGUAGUAAAUAGAGAAAAUAAACGGACUCAGAGCGAAAAACGGAAUAAUUUUUAUGAUCCGAGACGGAUUUGGGGCAGAAAACGGGAGAAAUUUUAACCCGCCCCAAAUCCGUCCCGCCAUGAUCCACCACAAAUCCGCCUCGACUUAUAUUUUUAAAAAAUAUCUCUAAAAAAUAAUGUAUUUACAAAAAAGUCCAAUAUACAAAUAAGUUAGUGCUCUCAUUUCUCAUAUAUUUAAAUUUUUUGAAUUUUGCUUUGCAUUGUGAUUGAUAUUUUUAAUUUUUAUAAUUAAUUUCGUUAAUUUUAUAUAUAUUAUUAUUAAAAAUUAUUAUUUUAUAUUUUAUAAAAUAUUAAUAAUAUUAUAAUUUUACAAAAAAUAUUAGUUGGCCGGGUGGAUUCGGAGUGCCGGCGGGAGGUGGGUUACGAAGCGGGGCGGAUUAUGGGAUAUAUUUUUUAACUCAUCACGGAUUCGGGACAGAAAACAGUGCAGGAUUUUGAUAGUUGGGGCGGGAGGCGGGGCCGGGCUCCCACCCCUAAAUCCACCAAGUUUGCAUCCCUAGGUUGAGGCAACGCGGCCUCAAAAAACAUUCAAGGCAACCAAAUAAAAAAGACAAAUAAAAAUAAAAAAGAAAAAUCGUAGAUAAAAUUAAUAAUUUUACUCCUCGCUCAAAUCUAAGUCACUAUAAGCUGCAAAACUUUGCCCAAUAUUAAAAAUAUUUUUUUAAUAUUUCAAGUUAUUUCAAAUAUACCCCUAAAGAUGGAUUCUGUUAGUGAAACAACCAUUAUCUCUAUAAAAUUACUCUUUUGCCCUUUUAAAUAUAUCAUUCUACUUUCACAAACUUUUCUUAUUUGAUUUUAAGUUCGGAAAAAAAAAUUAUUUUGAUUUCUUUCCUUUCAAAUAUAUCCUUCUACCACCGCUAACUUUUUUUAUUUGCUCUUAAGUUAUGGGCAAAAAUAAAUAUUUUGACUGCUUUUUAACUCUAGUAAUAAUUUAAUCUGAAAUAACUUAACAGGUACUAAUAGCGAGGGUAUUUUUAAAUAACAAAGAAUUAAUACGAUGGAUCUAUUUAACAACAAAACUUAUGGAUAAAUAACAUAUUUCAGAAAUAUUAAGAGAUAAAUAGAUAAUUAUCCCAAAACAAAUUAUCUUGUCUCCUUUAUGGGGAGAAAAUACAUUAGACCAGUGGUUUGCAAUUUAAAUUUUCCGGUUCACCGAUUGUAUGGUACUCUUGGUUUAGGUAAUAAUUCCCCUCAUAAAUUUGACAAGUAAUAGUGUUUGAGAGAAAAUGAGUACUACCACAGGUCUCGAUUUAGCGAUAAGUUUAAUUUAUAUGACAUUUGCAAUGGUGUAAGCUUUAAUUUUCUAUGGAGCUUAACUUUGAAAUUGAAUUUUAUGAUCGAUCAUUAGACCAAGUUCUAUUUUGCAUUUUUAAAAAACAACCACUUUGAUGCUCAGGAGCUUUAUAAAACGAUGUGUGCAUAAAUGGACACUUUAAGAUGUGCCGAAAGAGAAUAUAUUCUAAAGUAUUCUUACAGUUAGUAAUUGAUUUAUCUUUAUAUUAUAAUAUGACUAAGCGAAAAUUAUAGACUAACUAAGAAAAUAAUAGAAUAUUAUAAGUUAUAUAAUUUCCUAAUGUAAUAAUAUUGAACAAAACAAUAAAAAAAAAAUUGAAAAAGAAGAGGUGGAUUAAUCAACUGCACAUACUCAUGCACACAAAUCAUUCACCAGUUAACCACACAUAACAAGGAUAAACAACACACUAAAUUUUAUUCACAUCUUCCAAAACAUCCUCAGAAAUGUUCAAAUUUUUUCUAAAAACACAUCAUUUGAUCCAACUGGUCAGAGAGUUGCAUAGAGCUUUAGCUAGAGUAUGUUGCACCCAAAUGGCAGCAACUCUUCAACAAAAACCACAUGGCUCAGACCAUGUGACCUGCAAGUGCUGCAGCAUGGAGGCAGAAGCUUGCUGGUUCCUGAUGCUUCCUUCUCUUCUUUCUUCUCCUCUCUUUUCGGUUCGACGCUCACGACCUCCACCGCCUUCCCUGCCUUCUUCAGCUCCUUCCCGACCCGCAACACGUCCACGUCCCCCACCACCGUCAGCGUGCUCUUCUCCGCGUCCAACGCCAGCGAUUGUAUCCCUAAGUAAUCAUCAACCAUCCAAGAAAAUCGACACAGUGAUAUACAUACGCAUAAACAUAUAUGCGCGCAUUUAUAUAUACGUAUAUAUCUUUUCGUGAUCUUAGUUUAGGGUAAAAUGUAUGGAUAGUCGCUGUACUAUCCUGAUAUUGCAAAUUGUCAGUACUCGAACGUUAAGAAAAAUAAAAAAUAAAAACUAAAAUUUUGCAAUAAAAUAGAUUACUUAAUCAUAGCUGAUUAAACCAAAAUAAGCCAGACAGUUUGCAGCAGAAACAAAAUAGUUCUUUCAUCAAAAACAUUUAACUUUUGAGCUCAAGUUUCAUGCGUGCGCGCACACUCGCAAGUAGAGAUGAAGAGAGAAAGGCGGUUUACUAACCGUUGAGCCGUGCGACUGAUUUCAUAAUGCUGGUUUGGCACCUGUCACAGUUGAUGCACACUUUCAACACAAUCUUCUGCAAAUCAUUUCAAAGAACAAAAGAAGAUCAGAAGUUACUUCGAAUAAAAAGAAAAACACAAAUUAACAGAUCAAAGAACUGAAGAAGAAUAGAGGAAGAUCUUUAAUAUUUAGCUAGCAAUUAGUCCGUAGGUACUAACCUUCAUAUUUACUUGCUACACAAACAGGGGAUUAAUAUCGGAUAGAUGAUUACUCGAGGCCGGUUCGAAGCAAAUAGAUAGAUAGAUAGUUCCCAAUUACACCAUGAAAUGGUUGGAGCUCUGAAUAUGAAGCCUCAGACUAAAUCAUGAGGAAUUAGUUGCUGUAAUCAUCUUACAAGUCAUCACAAGAAACUUGCUUUAAAUAUUUAUAGUAAUACAUGUGAUCAUGAGAAGCAUUUAAGGGAACUCUCUCAGUUACACUUAGAAAUUUUCAUGUUAAUGUAGGAAGCAAUGAGGACCACAUUUCCCCAAAGGGCCCUUUGAGGCAGGUGAGGAUGAGUAGUACUAAUUCAGAUACUCCAGUAAUAUUGCUGAAUCUGAGUAUAUAAUUUUCAUUUAUGUCCUUCUAAACACAGUUAUUUUGAUUUACGAAUUGAGUACUAUAUGCAUACGAGGUAAAUUACAUUAUAAUCCUUCCAUCGACAACUCCUGUUGAUUUAUUCUCUAUGGAUAAAGAUUCUCUUACAUUGUUACGGUUCUCUCCUUUUCUUGGUAAUUUUUCGGUAAAAUUGCAUGAUAGACCCUGUGAUAUCCUGGAAUUGAGACACAGUCCAUACGCUUUUUGCUUGAAGAUUUAGUCCCCGAACUUUUAGAUAUAUGGCAUUUUAGUCCCUGACUGUACAAAAUAUCUAAUUUUUCUUGCAAAGGAUAAUUUCGCCCGUUUCUAUAAAAUGACUUAUUCAUCGUAGUUUAAACGUCGUUAAAACAAAGGUAACUAAGUUUUAACAAUCAAGGACUAAAAGUAUAAUAUAUGUGAAAGUUCAAGGAAUAAAGUGUUUGAGCUAAAACUUGAAAAGUAUAGAGAGCCAGUCGCAAAAUCAGGAUAGCAGACGAUCCAUGCAUUUUGCCCUAGAUUAUAUUCCUUGACUUAUUCCUCGCUUGAUUCAGUUUGUUCACUCUCUACAGGCGCAUUUGCUUCAAUUUCUGCUGCAGGAACAUCAUCCAUUGUUGCAGGUUGUGAUUCAACAUGUGCUUCUGAUGCGGCGGUUGGAGCUGAAGCUGAUUCAGCAGGAAAAGGGAAUGGCGAGUCUGGAGUGAACGCCUCUGCAUUGAACUUGCCAUUUUGCGGCACCGUGGGAUCCAUCACAGCCUUGAAUGCUUCUCGAAUCGCCUUUCUCUGCAAGAAGCAAAGAUGAAAUGUCUUCGAAGAAAGAAGAUGAUUUGUUUAGACGACGAAGGUCUUGAGCUCGAAAUAUUUGUUGAAUUCGAUUAGAUACCUCAUCCCUUGUGGGAUAUUUUCAUCUACAAUCCUUCUGAAAUUAGAUAACUCUUUGAAACAUGUAUACUAAGAUAUAAAUCAGGGGAUGGGAUAACCUCACCUUAAAUUUCGUCGCCACCUGCCAUAUGUAUGCCAUUUACAGCAUCAGAAAAACUGGCAGCAGGAGGCUUGUAAAACCAACAUUUAGAGAAAAGCCUUACCACUGAAAAUGUUGCUGAUACCCCAACUCCAACUCCAAUCCACAGAAGAGGUGAGCCUCUUCAAGAGUCGCGAGAAACAAAUUUCAAGAAGUGAGAAUCUCAGUAAGUGCAUGAAAUGAAUAGCCCCUGAACUUUUUGUGAACUGCUUUUAGAAUUCAGACCCUCAUUAUUUUUCACUUAAAAACGAUUUUAGAUAUUAAAUAUGUUCAGCUCCAAGCAGAUGUUGGUUGGAGAUUUUGGAUGGAAAAUGCACCAAUAUAUGAAUGAGACACUGCGAGGAAUUCAAAAAGUUCCUGGAGUAAUUUGUUUAGGUGUCACAAAGUAAAAGAUCAAUUCCCCUACAUUUUACCGAUAAUUAUAUUGAAUCAGAUGCAUUAACUUCGAAAAAUGAAAACACCGACAAGGUAUCUAACUUACAUGCAGCUUGCUGCGUAUGGCUCCAAAAAUCGAGGAGUUUGACAAGCAAUAGAUGCCUCAUUGUCAGCUGACGACGGAAUGCUCGUGUAGCUCUGCAUUUCCGGUUUCUCUGCAACUACAGAAAAUCAACAACAAUUUUUGAAAAAGAAAAACAAUUAUCAAUUAAAUGAACUACGGAAAAUUAAGAAUAUAGAGUAGCAUGAGGCAGAUACACAACUACAGAAACCAAAUUAAGCAUUUUGAUUAAUUCGUAGACGAUUACGGCACAAUAAACGGAGCAGCAAUUUGAGCCACAUAAAUAAGUAAUUUGCAAGAACUAACUAAUUAACUACAAAUUUUGCAAGCUUGAAUGUACCGCCAAAGAGGUGAGCAGAAACAGCUAAACAUGUUUACUUGUAAGAGCAGAAUAGAUUGAGUUGAAACUUUAGAUAUAAAUUUUGAUAUGAUAGUUGAAAUUUUAGAUAUAAAUAGACUUUUUUAUAAUUGAGUUGGGUUUUAUAUUUAGAAUGGGCAAAAAAUCAAAUAAUAAAAAUCUGUAUUUUAUAUAUAUAUAUAUAUAUAUAUAUAUAUAUAUAUAUAUAUAUAGAAUUAGGCUGGAAUACUAUUAAUAGUAAAACGCUCUUUUUACUAUCAAGUUUUUAACCCUUGGAUGAAAAAUUGUAGGGUCAGGAUGAUAUUAGUCAGUUAGAGUUGAGUGGUCCCCCUAGGGUUGAGUGCCGUCCCCACUGGUAAUAGUAUUUAAUCCAAUGGUUAGAAAUAAUGAAAAGAGUUGAUCCAAAGGCUAAAAAACUGGUAGCAAUAAUAGGAUUUUGCUACUAAUAGUAGUCCAGUCCAACUCUAUAUAUAUAUAUAUAAUAUAUAUUAUAUAUAUAUAUAUAUAUAUAUAUAUAUAUAUAUAAAUUUGAGUUGCCUAUACUAUAGUGUUUUAAAUCAUUAGAUCCUCUUUGAGAUCCGUGUACAGAUUUGGAAGAUUAAGUAUAAUGAAGGGAGAUGCAGCUAGUACACCGGUUAACAGAAAAAAUAAAAAGGAAAGAAAAUCCCACUUCAAACCUUACUCUCUCUCUCUCUCUCUCUUCUGACCUCAACUCCACAUCUCUCCUCCCUCACCCGCUCCUCCCCCCCCCCCCCACCUCGGGAAAACUCCCACAAAUCACAAAUCUUGUAUUUUUUUUACAUAAUUUUUUAUUUUUAUAAAAAUCAGUAAAAAAAUAUAAAAUUGUACGAAGAAUCGUGUAUUUAAAUAAUUUUUUUACAGAAAAUAUAAAAAUUUAUUUAGUACCAAUCUUGUAGAAUUUUUUUAAUAAAAAUAUAAAUAAAAUACGUAGAAAAAAAAGAAAAUACAAGUAUCUUGUAUUUUUUUAAAAGAUCCAUACCUCAUGACUGUUUUUUUUAUAAAUUUUUACAAAAUUACAUUAAAAUAUAAAUUUUAAUUCAAUAAAAAAAAUAUUAGAAAAAAUAAAAAAAAUUAUCAUUUUUUAUAAUUGUAAAAAAUUGCAUAUGCUCAUUAUUUUAUUUUUUAAAUAAUUUUAAAAAAAUAAAAAAAUUCAGCUAAAAAUAGAAAUAAAUAUGUGGAAAAAAAUUUGUAAGGUUUGAAGUAGGAUUCUCUCUCCUCUUUAAUUUUCCUAUUAACGGAGGGAGAGAGAGGUUUGAAGUGGGAUUAUCUCUCCUCUUUUAUUUCUCUGUUAACGGUGUUACUAGCUGCAUCCCACUUCAUCCCACUUAAUCUCCCAAAUCUAUGCACGGAUCUCAAAGAGGAUCCAACGGUUUAAAACACUAUAGUAUAAGAGCUUCUAUACUAUUGAUAGUAUAGAAGCACAACUCUAUAUAAUUAUUUAUAUAUAUAAAAAUAUAAAUUAUAUAAAUUAUAUUAAAUAUAAAAUAUAUGUAUUCGAGUUAUUAUAGGGCCGAACACAAGCGAGCUGACCCCAACUCGUGUUCGGCUUGUUUAUUAAACGAGCUGAAAAAUUCAACUCGUUUAGUAAACAAACGAUUCGAUCUCGAGCUCAUUUCAAGCCGAACGGGAGCUGACUCGUGAACAGCGAGCUCAAUUACCACCCUACAUCUUAUUUUGAGUACAUUGAUCAAUCUAAGGGCAUUUGUGUCAUUUUACUCACGUAAUACUAGUUGUUCGCGUGGUUAAUGUUAACUUUCUAAAGUUGAGGGGGUCAUCCGCAAAUUUGCGAUUGUUCAGAUGAGUCUAAUGCAUUUAUUCCAAAAAAAAACCAAAACAAUAUGAUACCAAAAUUGAACUAGUGAGCUAAAAACCCAUUGUUCUUGGAGAAUUACCACCACUUAAGAGAAAUAAUGGUCUAAUUAUGCGAACUUGGUCCCUAUACGUGAAUCGAAAGAUGAAAAUCGAUAUAAAGAAGCCAUUGAUUUAAGAUUUCUUCGUAGAAACAUCACCUUUAUCUCCAUCGGUGAGAGAGGAGGCGAAGCACCCGAUUCUCCUCCUAAUUGGAGCGGGGAAUUUGGGGAAAAGCUUAUUGGGGAUCGGAGAACACGGGAUUGAUGCGAAUUUGGGGGAGAUUAGGGUAAUUCGAUCCAUUCGGAAACCCUAGGGCUUCUUCGUUGUGGGCUUCGAGAGUAGGGUUAUAGAGCGAGUUAUAGAGAGGAGGGGAGGGGACGAGAGGGGCAAAAUGGGAAUUUGCGUGAACGCGUUUAUUUCGUGUGAGCGUGGGGUACGGCAGUGGCGGGAAAUUAGGUAAAUAUGUAAAGAGACCCCUCAACUAUAGACUUUUUCAAAUGAAGGACCCUAAAAAUUUUAUUAAAUUUUUCAGAAUUUAAAUUAAUUUGACUAAUUAAAAUGAUUUAUGCAUUUUAUUGGUGAUUCCAUUCAAUUUAAUAGUUAUAUCUAUCUUUUAGAAAGUAAAAUAGAAAGAAUUAAUGGCUAAUAACAAGAAGAUUCACGAAAUUUUAUAAAUAUUUUAGCUUCACUAACUAGAAAAACUAAAAUUUAAAAAUUAAAAAAUUAAAAAUUAAAAAUGUUAGUAAAAUGGGAAAAGUUGAGGGGCUUUUACCAGCAUAUUAUUGGAGAGAGGAAUGGUAAUUGAUAAGUCCAAAUAAUUGUAGUUAUUAUUGAUUUUUCAUUUCUUUUUUUUUUUUACCGAAAUGCCCUUAUCACAUUUAUUGGAUGCAAAAUCACGGCAUCUUGAAGGUCGGAAAAAUUGCAUUCUAGCCCCCUACAUUUUAAUUUAGUUUUAGUGCAGUGCUUGAACUUUUGUGCUUGGAUGUUCAACGUUUUAAAACUUUUAGAAGUGUUUUAUGAUAGAUUUGUAUCAGUACGUAAAACAAUAAUAAAAAUAAAUAGAUAUUAAAAUUCAGGAUCAUUAACAAAAUUAUAAUGACUCACGGAGCAUCAUAGCCCAUACAGAAAAAAUUUUUGAUUGAUCUCCGGAAGCGAGAAGUCUGGCUAUAAUCUGAACGUCAACAACCGAAUUUAGAUAAUUUGGUUUCUCCUUCUAUCCCAGACAUUUUCCUUUAUGUAUGGAGCCAAUGAUAAUUCUUUAUCAGAAUGCGUAUGAGAAAGGUAGCAUGACCAAUACUCUUUUAUAUAGAAUCAGAUCAACUUCCCAUCAAAAUCUAGGAUUCUAUUUAAUUUAAAUGGAUAGAAAAAGGAUAAGAUAUAUCAUAUCAAGUAGUUCUAUAUCUAUUAAGAAUGAUUUUUAUUUAUAAUAAAUUCAAAUUUAAUUAUGAUUAAUUGGGGCAAUUAUGAAAAUUCUAACAUUUUACACUAUAAUAAUCUUUAGCAAAAAUACAUUUUUCAAUAUUUAGGUGGAGAAAAGAGGAGAACUAACGCCAUGUCUAGUUUUAUUUGAGAAAAUAAUUUCUCAAAUUUGAUUUUUUUUUAAAGAAAAAAUCUUAAUCUAGCAUCAUUUAGCUAGACUGAUUAGAAAAGAGAAAAUACCCGACCCCAUUGAUUUAUAAUAAUAGAUUUAUUACAAAAUGGUUAUAGUUAAUAGUGGAAGUAGUAGUAGUAGUAGUAGUAGAAGGUAGUAGUAUUUAAAUAAUUAACUAAUUGUAGUUGAUAAUCACUACUAAUUAGGGCCGGCAAUCUAGUUCGUUGUUUGCAAACUAACUUGCGUUCGGCUCAAAAUGAGCUCGAAAUCGAUCGUUUAUUUAAAUAAAUAAAUAGCGAGCUGGAUUGGCUCACUCGUGUUCGGCUCAAUAUAAUGUGUAUGUGUGUACUACAAUUUUUUACUAAUUGAAUCUAGGCUAACCAAAUAUAAAGAGACCUAUAUUUUAUAAAGGCUAAAUUAAAGAAAACCCUCCGGCCAAUAUCUUUUUUUCACUUUCUCCUCCUGUCAUUCAAAAACCCACGCAUUGCCCUUUUAAAAAAAUAUAUUCAUUUUGAUCCCCGCCGUCAGUGUUUCGUUACGGUUCCGUUUAUAUCCUAUUUUUUAUACCCAAAAUAACCCCAAAACCCUCCUCCUUAUUACUUAUCCUCGGCCGCACCGUCUCACCCUCCGCCGCCUUGCCCUCGCCCAUCUCUCCGUCCAUGCCCACACACACCCUCGCCCACCUCCGCCACCUCACCCUCGCCCUCGCCCAUCUCUCCGUCCACGCCCACCCGAAAGAAAAUGANCCUCACCCUCACCCACCUCUCCGUCCACGCCCACCCGGAAGAAAAUGAGAGGUAAUUUGGUUAUUUUGUCAUAGCGUGCCCCGCUAUGAAUAUUUUUAUUUUUUAAGAGAGUAAAGUGUAGAUUUUUUAACGACAUAGGGGGAAAGCGAAAAAACGGGUAUUAAUAUGGAAGUUUUCUAUAAGUUAGCUUUUUAUAUAUUUUAAUUUUUAAAUUUUCUUUCAAUUUUCUCGCUAGUAGUAGUGCUGGUAAUUUAACUUAUUAUUCGCAGGUUAACUCAUAUUUGACUCGCUAAUAAACAAGUCAAACACGAGCUGAAAUUUUCAACUCGAUUUUUUAACAAACCCGCUCAUGUUCGACUUAUUCAAUAAAUGAACGAACACGAGCCAGUCCUAGCUCACUCAUAUUCAGCUUGUUGACAACCCUACUAAUAAUAAUUAGUUUGUAAUAAUAAUAAAUAAUAAUAAUCAAAUAAUUAUAGUUAAUAGUUAAUAAUCACUAAUUUUUAGAUAUUAAUAAUAUUUAAAAAUAAUUAUUUUUUAAUAAUAAUAACAUUAUUAUUAAUUUAUUUUUAUUAGCAUUAUUAUUAUUAUUGUUGUUAUUCUUCUAUUUCUUCUUCUUAUUAAAUCAUAAUGAUUGUAAUAAUAAAUUAUUAUUAUUAUUCAAUCAUGAUAUUAUUUACACCACUAGAUAUGAACAUGAUUAUCACUCGACAUAACAGUUAGCACAACUAAAAAAUCUACAAGAUCUAAGGAUAAUAUGACUAUACACUAUAUAUAAAUAAAUGUGAUAUAAUUAUUAUUAUUAUCUAUACCUAAACAUUAUUUCUCCUAAUUUUUUGCCACGUGGCAAAUUCUCCUUCACUCUUUUCUCUUCUCUCUUUCCACUCUCAUUUUCACCCAAUGUUUCAUCUUCCUAAACCCCCACUCAAUUAAUAUGUUUACAUAAUACCAUCUCCACCCAAUGCUUCAUCUUCCUAACCCCCCUAUCUCUCAAUUAAUAUGUUUAUAUGGUUUCAUCUCCAUUUCUUCAUAUCUUUUUUUUCAUAUUGUUUUUUUUUCUCCCCCUUAUCUCUCAAUUAAUAUGUUUACAUGAUUUAAUCUCUAUUUCUUCAUAUCUUUUUUUUCUUUUUUUCUUGGCGCACAAAAAGGGCUCAUGUUUUGUAACUUUUUAAAAUUUUUUAUUGUGUGUGGAUUGAAAUUAGGGUUUCGAGGAUCGCGACGGAGCGCUGCAGAAAAAAACGGUGAUGGAUUUGGAGUCAAUGAUAGAGAAGAAGCAGUGGAUGUGGAUACAGGAUUGAUAUGGUCGUGACUAAAGAGGAGCUAGACACUAGCGGCGAACGCGAUGUAAAGAUCAGAAUUUGCCUCUCCGAUGUCGAUAGUGCAAUGAAGAUGUGUAUGGGGUAAAAAAAAUUUUAUUGCUUAUUUUAUUAUUAUUAUGUGUGAUUUAUUUAUCGAAAUUAUAAAUUUUGUUAUAUCUAUACCUAUAUCUAUUUUAUAUUUUAUAUUUGUGUUUAUUGAAGUCCCAUAUCAAAUCAAAAAAUUUAAAAUUUUUAUUUUAUUUAUAUUUUAUAUUCUAUAGUAUCAUUCCGCCGCAAUGCGCGGGUAACUUCACUAGUUAUACUUUAUUUGACAAUACACUCAAUAUAAUUAAAUAUCUAAUAUGGUUAUACAUUUGACAAAAUAGUUGACAUUACUUAAAACAUCGAUAUGAUAUUAAAACGAUAUGACUCCACAUUACAUGUAAAUAAAGGUGAUAUAACACUAUACUAAAUGUACGUAAAGGAGACGGUACACUUGACUUGAUUACAUAUUAAAUACAGUGACAUAAAAAUUUGACAUGAUUAUAUGCUACACAAAACUACAAAAAUAAUAUGACUAUAUUCCUACAAACUUUGAUUUUAAUAUUAAAAAAGGGAAAAAAAAUUCUAUAUAAACAGUUGGAUAUUCAUUGCUUUCCACCUCAUUUUUAUUCCUCUUAUACAAACUUGGCCAAUUUGUAUAAAAAAUUUAUUAGUUUUGAGUUUUAUGCAAAAGUAGGCUAAUUUUUUAAAUUUUGCGGAUUCGGGUCGAAUUUUUAGAAAAUUAAUCAAAAUACCCUUAUUUCUUUUUUUCUUUUUAUUUUUUUCUCGUUCUUUUUUUCUUUCUCUUUGAACAGGGCUGCGGAGGCAGUGGCAGCGCACCUCGCCUCUGUUCCACGUGCUCUCGCCCUCACCCGCUCACCCUUCCUCUGCCUUCCUUGCCUCCAAUCCUACCAAGGCCGCACCACGACCCUCUUUUUUUUUCUCUCCGAUCCUCCUCCACCGCCUUCCCAAUUUUUUAUAACAGUAAAGAGGGCAACGUCACAUCCUCUUGCUCUCAUUUUUUUCUCUCGUUCUUUUUUUUCUCUUCAAGCCCCCUCUACCACCUUUGCGACCCUCCACAACGAUAACGAGGACAACGUGCAUCCUCCUCCUCCACUUUCACCUGCGCCGGUACCGACGCCAGCGCCGAAGAAGGAGAACUCAGAGCGAGUAUGGGUGAAAGUGGAGCCGAGAAAAAAGAUACAGAAAAUAAAACAAAUAAAAAGAAUAAAUAACAAAAUAUAAAGAAAAAUACUUUUUUCUACAAAAAAAAAAAUGAAGAAUCAAAGAAAAAAGAAUAAAGAUGAUGAAGUUGCACCGUUUCAAGGAAACAUUGCACUAUUUCAGAAAAAGGUUACACUAUUUUAGAAGAAAAUUACACUCUUUAAGAAAAAAAUUAUUCUUUUUUGGACGAAAAUUGCACUAUUUGAAUAAAAAUUACAGUCUUUGGGCAAAAAUUAUACUGUUUCUCCUCUUCCUCCUCUUUCUUCUCUUUCCUCUUUGUUUUCGUUCAUUUUUUCUGUACCCAUCUCUUCUUCGUCCUCCACCUCCAUCGACAGAUCCUCCUCCCUCGCCUGUCCCACGCGCCCUCACUCCUGCCCGCCCACAACCCGCCUAUCUCUCUCUGAUCCUCUUUUUUUUUCCCCUCUCCGGCGGUGGAGGAGGGUCGAAAAAAAAAAGAAAACCGCGACCUCGGUGGGGUUGGAGGCAAGGAGGGCGGAGUAUGGGCCGGCACGGGCGAGGGCGCGCGAGGCAGAAGGCGAGGGUGAAGUAUCUGCCAACGGAGGUGGGGAGUGAAGAAGAGAUAGGCACAAAAGAAACACACGAAAAUGAAAAUGAAGGAUAAAAAAGAGAGGAAGAGAAGAAACAGUAUAAUUUUUGUUCAAAGAGUGCAACUUUCUUUCAAAGAAUGCAACUUUUGCUAAUAGGGUCACUGACUAUUUAGCACGUCAUGUGCUUAAUUCAGGAACUAAACUGGUUUUUGAUUCUAGCAGUGACCUUCCCACAGACUUUUUUUGGAUACUUUUUGAAAACUCUGUAAGUAGAGUCUUUUUACGCAAAGUGUAAUCAGUUUUUACUUUUAAUCAAUUAGCCUGUUGUCUCUUUUGACCCAAAAAAAAAAUUAGGGGGCUAGAAUGUAAUUUACCCGACUAUCUAGAUGCCGUGACUCCGCAUCCAAUAAACGUGAUUGGGGCAUUUUAGGGCCAAAAAAAAACAAAAGAAAUAUCAAUAGUAACUACCAUUAUUUGAACUCACCACAUUAUCACUCCUCUCUUCAAUAAUUUUAUUUUCUGGUAAACAUAUACUCCAAGUCUCCAACUAUAGCCUAUUUUCAAAAUAGCCCCUCAACUUUACUUUUUUUUAUUUAGGACUAAAUACUAGUGGAUCGUUCUAAAGUUUAAAAAUAACUUAUAUAUCUCUCCAAAUUUAAGUUUACUUGCAUACCUUUCUAAACUUCUAAUACCUACAAAAAUAUCUUCCGAGUAAAGUUUUAUCAAUUUCUGUUAAAGAAAAUUUAAUUUCUUCUCUUCUUUCUCUCUUUUCUUUCUUUUCUUUUAUUCGUCUAAAAAAUUACUUCAUCUUCUUUUUUUUUUCUUCCAAACUGACCGUUUAUUUUAUCUCUUUUAUAGCCUUAAAAUUUGAUAGACAGCAUAACAUUUUGGUAGAAGAUGAACUUAUCAUUUGAAUUUAUUUUAUUUUUUUUUUGGUCUGCUAGAUUGGAAGCUAAAAAAAGUUUAACAAAAUUUGGUAAAAAUUUAAUUGAAUUGGUAUAUAUUGACUUAAAUUUUGGAAGGAUAUAUAAGUUAUUUUUAAAUUUUAAAAUUGAUAUAUUAGUAUAUAAUCCUUUUACAACAUCUUAAAUUUUUAAAUUCUUAAAAUUUAUUUAAGUUAUUCUUAUAUUACAACAUCGAAGCGCCGCCACCUCCGCCGUGACCGCUCUGCUCCGCAUAUUUCAAGAGGUUGCCGUCAUCCUCGAGGUCAUUUUAAAAAAUGGUCAAAAUUAACAACAUCUCUAUUCUCAGCCGCCACGAUACGGUUGAAACCCUAUGCCUCCCUCGUCUAUUACACCACGCUCUUCGAGACCUCAAUGGACCCUCGUCUAUUACACCACGCUCUUGGAGACCUCAAAGGACGCCAACAAGAUCGCGCACUCAAAUUCAUCCCAACUUCCACUGGGUAAAUGAUAAAUUUCCUCUUCUUUCUCUCUUUUUUUGGUUGGUGAAUGAAAAAUUUUUCUGUGCAUAUUUUGGAUUCCAUUUUUUUUUUUUCUUUAAAUUUUUACAAGUCAUAUUCUAACUACUUAUCAUCGUAUAUUUUUAUCAAAUUCUUUGCACUUUCAUUAGCAGCUACUAGCUAAUUUGAUACAAAAUAAGGGAAUGUCUUGAGCCAUGCUAUCAGCAUAAAAAUCAUAUCGUGAUGAUACUUUAUCGACACGGUACGAGACCGUAGGCACAGACUGUGCCGAUGGGCACUUAAAUCCUUGCAGCAGAAAUAUUUUUCCGCAAAUUUGCUACCAGAACGGAUUUUGAAACUCUGCACCGGAAAACAAAAAGGCUGAUAGCAUGCUGAAACUCCAGCCUUGAUGGAAGAUACAAACUGAUUUACUCUUCCAACUGAAUUCCGUUCGUCGGAACUGGAAAAACAGGAGGAUAAAAUGGAGCUCUCACUUCUGCUUGAGUGGGCUUUGAACAUUUAUCUUCUGCAGGUUCAACAGCAAUUCACUGGAGUCCAAGAAAACCUUGUUGGUGGAGUUGGAAAGCAUGUGGGAUAUUUCUCGCGCAGCUUCGAUCUGCCUCAGAGCGAGAAACGCCGGGUUGUUUGCGAUAGCCUUGCCGAUAAGCUCGGCACUUUUUGCCUCGCCCUGUAAGCACAAGAGAGAACAGUCAUCGAAACGUAGCACCAGGUCCUUCAUCAAAGUAUAAAAAUAUCAUACAGGGCAUUAUGUUUUGGCGACAACUGCAUUGAAGAGGUGGGAAAUUACAGUGCUUUUCUCAAUAGCAGAAGGCACAAAUCCCACUUGGUUUCAUCAUACGUACCAACAAUUCGGGAUAAUUUUCUCUCUCUUUUCUAUUUCCGCUUCGUUUAGUCGAAUGCAGGGAAACAAUUGGUGUCUUCCCCUUAGACCCACAAGGGAAAAGUGCCUACUUACGGAACAAGAACCUCACAAAUACUGAGAAUGUAAUCACAUGGUCACCAAUUUCAGUGUAAAUCGGGAUCUCACAAGAGUAAACAACGUAAUAAUUUUAACCUUUGCUGCCAAAUUAGGUCUAUUGCUACCUAUUUAUUCUCACCAAUGUUUUCUCUGUUCCUGUAUGCCCCUUUUAGCCCUUCACUUUGAUAGGGAAUGAGAACUACUCAGACAAAGAAUGAAUAACUUGCCGCAAUGAAAAUUUUCCAAUUAACAAGCAAACUCGGAACAUAUUUCUUGGCUAAUUAAGUGAUUCAGAUGCUCCUAAAAUCAUAUUUUACCAACCUAAGCAAGCAAAGUAACCAUAUGGAUUGAUGAAAAACUAAAAAAAAGAAAUUGACAUAUAUUAGGUGCAGCAAGAGAAAAGAAACUUAAGAACUAAACCAGAGCAAUAGAAGUUUUAUACUUCCGAUGUUAGAGACAGAAGGUACAUCACUUCCAACAAAUCCUACGUUACAGUUCGAGUAAUAAAUAAAUAAGCUCACCUGAGCCCUGAUAACUGCACUUUUCUUGUCUUGCUCUGCUUUCUCAACAAUGAACUUGGCACGCUCAGCGUCUUGUGCAGCAACCUGUUUAGCUUCAAUUGCAUGAGUAAAUUCCUUCCCAAAGCUAAGGCUCGUGAUGGACACAUCAUCCAGCGCAAUAUUGAAGUUAUGGGCCCUCUCUGUCAAUAUUUUCCGUAUUUCCCUGCUAACAGUCUACAGAAAGAUGAGGGAAAAAAGAACUCAGUUUUCCUCAAUCAAUGCCUAUCCCAUCCAGCUAUGCAUACUAAUGAUUUCAAACCUAUCUUUCCAAAGCUUGGCAAUAUACAUAAUAUAAAGAAGAGGGUUUCAUACAAAUAUCUAUCCCUGAAAACUAUUUUACAUAUAUACACGUCUAAAAUCAUAAUUCCCAUGUGCGCACAUCAAACUGCGGUUCUAUCUUAAUCUGCGGAGUCAUUCAUCUUGCGGUGGUAAAUAGGCUUCACAUUAGAAAAAGUUUUCUGAGGAGAAAUUUCAUGAGUAAUAGUGCAUAUGCGGCAACAAAUUAAGUCUGGCAUAUAUGAAAAUUGAUAUUUUGAACGGGGCAUACAAAAAUUGAUAAAUUUGCAGGAAUAGAUAUGUAAAUAUUUCUAUAAAUAAAUGGGAAACAUGUAAAUAUUUCUAUAAAUAAAUGGGAAGAUGAUCACCUCUCUUUGCGUGAUGAGCUGGCUGGCAUUGUAUUGAGCAACAACAGCUUUCAACGUCUCGUGAAUAAUAGAAGGCAGGACUCUCUCAUUAUAGUUCUGGCCAAGGGUUCUGUAUAUAGUAGGCAGCCUCUCUGGUAGAGGUCUUGUAAGGACUCUAAGGCCAAUUUUCACCUGUUCAUAUAUGAAAGCUUCACAACCAGUUCUUCUCAUAUGUCUAAGUCCAUAUUUGGAGAAUGAGAAUUUUGACUUUCUAAGAGUCUAGUAAUAGAAUAAUCGAGCAUGCAGGUACAUAUGAAAGUAAAAGUAAACAGCAUCAUGUAAUAAUGGAAUCAGUGAAUCACAUGUUGCCAGAUUAAAUUACCAUCACAAGAAAAAAGAAACAGAAGUCUAACUAAAAUAUAUCAAAAUAUGUGUCUUCCCAUAUGAGAAAGAGGCUAAAGGGCAUAAAUCAAAAUUGUACAGAGAAAAAUAAAUCCAGAAACAUGAAUGCAACAAAAAGAAAAAAAAGAAUAGAAGCCCUAUCAAAUUGAAAAUGAGAAGAGCAAACAUUAAAUAUAGCUGCCAAUAUACCUGGUACUAUGACUACAUUGUAACAAACUAACAAUAUAGAUGGUUAUAUAAGGAUUGAACUUGUAGAAGAGAUGCAACAAGCAAAUUUUCUAAGGCAGGCUCAGAUCAUUCUAUGCUUGAACUCGCAAAUUCAGGAGUUGAUUAGAAAAAGCUACAGGUAAAAACAGUCCAUGUCUUUUCCAGCAUAGGCGGUUAAAGGCUAAACAAAACAGCUAGAGUUUUAUCCACCAGGUCCAAGCUGUACAAAUAUUGUUCUGAGAAUUUAAUAUUGCAUAACCAUAUUAUAUAGAAGAGUUGGCAUCUGUAAAUGGGCCUCAACUAACAGAUGUUACGAGAAAGACAAGGCCAUGGAGAAGUGGAAAUAAAAAAUCAUGAUUCACUUAGUGCUACUUAACGAAGAGAUACAGUUACAAUUUAGACAUAAAAAACCUAAAAAUAGCAGCCUCUGUUGAGAACAAAAUGAGGGACCAUUGCUAAAUGAGGAAUGGUAUACUUACUUGUUUAUGGAAGGGCCGCAUGAAACAAAGGGAUGCAUCACAACUAACAGAAUAGUAAGGUAACCAAAGUAAUAAAAAGGAAGUAAAGGAAUAUCAAAAUGACAUGGCUAGAGAUAAUAAAGGAAACAUAUAUGGUAGAGAGAAAAGAUGGCUGUAGUAUUCAGAGGACAAGGAGGAUUUACAUGAUAGAUCCCACUAAAUUCUUUGAGGAUUCAAACAGACGACCAAAUUUCACAUGAAUUUAUGAUAGUUUUAGGUUUGUUUAGUUGAUUUCAACUAAGAGAAGUUUUGAGGCUUGUUUAGUUGAUUUGAAAUCACGGGGACAGUAGAUUAGCUACCACAAAGAUUAUGCUACAAAUUACUGGAUUAGAUGCAUUCCAUGUUUCAACAUGUGCACAAUGUUAAAUGUCUAGAGAUAUUUCACUGUCGUAAUUUCUCGAUUCCAAAUGCUGUUUUCUGGGGUCAGAUAUUAGUCCGAGGAAUCGGUCCAACCAAGACAAAAAAGAAAUCAAGGAGCUAAGGGAAUUAGUGUAGCAAUCAAAAUGUAAAAUACAGUUCACAAAUUUUCAUAACGAUAAUUCUAGUUGACAAACCCGUAAAAAAAAAAUUUUGUAGCAUUGACAAAUACAGAUCCUCUUUAAUUUCCAAUCUAUUCUAGCAAACAUAUGUAAGUAACAAGAAUUUGUUGUGCAACCAGCCUUUCUCGACCACAUGCCAAUUCACAAAACCGUCAAAAGCACUCCGCCAAAUUAGAAGCUUAUUAUAGAGACGAGGUAAAUACCAUCUGCAGGUCACGACUUCCAGAAGUACUCUCAACAAGAUGGGGACGAGCACGAACAUCAUAUAUGAUUGGCCUCUCAAACCACGGUAUCAUCAAAUGCGUUCCUUCGGGGUACACCUGCACACACAGUAGAUUUCAGGCAUCAGCCAACAGGGUAAUAACACUAAACAAAAAUCAGAAAACAAGUAUAUGAAGGAGCUUAAAUCUCUCCAGUAUAAGUCAUAAAAGAACACGAAAACUGUCUUGAACUGUUGAACAAUUACACGAAAGAAGCUUCCCCUUCUGCUUUCAGCUGCAGUCACCUCUAAUAUAACAUUUGUGAAUUAGAAAUUUUGCUGUAGCUUUGAUUUGGAGCUUUUAAGCAUGUGAUAGAGAAAAGCUGAGUGAAAGGAUUUAACAGUGCUUCUCCUAAGAGCGCUUCAUCACACCACACUACAAGAUGCCACCUUUAGCAAAGUAGCCUAAAAACCUACUGCAUGAAACAUGUGUGAACACAUCUAACAGCCUAAUCAUACAUAAAAACGCCGCAGAUCCAAGUAAUUAGAACAAAAAGAAGAAGAGAUGAUCGGGAAAGAUGAUCAAAGAUAGGGUGGGUAAUGUAGAUGGACCUUGUCCUUGAUGCCCUGGAUGCGGUUGAAGACGAUGGCGCGGUGGCCUCCCUCGACGUUGAAGAGGCUGUUGAGGGCGGCGUACACGGCGGAGCCGCCGAAGAGCGCCACCUUGAGCAGCGUCGCCGCACCCCCCGAUCCCGGGACAUUGGGUGCCCUAACGUUCCUAAAGUUCAUCGUCCACCUCUCCUCUUCCCCCCUUGCUUAAAAACCACCACCCUUAAAACCCUAGAGAAACACGGAGACGAUGGGGGAUUGAGCUCCAAUGGAGAUCGACGAGAGGGGUGGAGCGAUUAGGGUUUUGGGGGCAGGGUUUUGAAGAGCGGGGUAAAGGAAGCUCGCCAGGGGUGGCAAUCCAGCCGCGAGCCAGCCCGUUCGGCUCGAAAUGAGCUCGAAAACGGCUCCCUAAACAAGCACUAAACGAGCCGACCACAAGUUAGAUUUUCCAGCUCGUUAAUAAACGAGCCAAACACGAGCUAGGGUGAGCUCGCUCGUGCUCGGCUCGAUAACAGCUCGAUUAUAUUUAUUUUAUAUUAAUAUAAUUUUAUUUUAUAUUAUAUAUGUAUAAUUAUAUUUGUAUUCUAAAUAUAUAAUACAGAUUAUUAAUUUUAAAUUUUUAAUUCAAUUUUUUUUAAAAAAAUUCAACUUAUUUAUAAAAGAGACCCAUAGGCCUAUUUAUAUUUAAAAUUUUUCUUUUCACUCAUGGUCCAUAGGCCUAUGAAAUAAGUUUCACCCUUUCCAUUCUUAACCCUAAUUAUCUUUUCGCAUAUUUUUUUUUCACACUGCCGCACACACAGCCACCUCUCUCUCUUUCUCUCUCUCCGCCGCUCUCUCUUUCUCUCUCUCUGUUUCGCAAAGGCACACAUCCGCCUCCUCUCUCUCUUUCUCUCUCUCUCUCUCUCUCUCUCUCUCUCUCUCGCACAGGCACACAUCUGCCUCCUCUCUCACAGUCUCGCACAGGCACACAUCUGCCUUCUCUCUCUCAGUCUCACACAGGCACACACAUCCGCCUCUUUCUUUCUCUCUCUCAGUCUCUCACACAACCACACGGCACACCCUUGGCUGGUGACACUCUCGGCAGUGAACUUCGGCGGCGACACUUUCAACCGGUUCAUCCAAUUGAUCUUCAUCUUUCUUUCUUUUUUUUUUUCUUUUUCUUAUGAUUUUUUUUAGGGGAAUGGGAGGGGAUUAUAUAAUCAAGCUAACGAGCCGAACACGAGCCAGCUCGAAUAAGUUUCAAGCCGAUCACGAGCCGGAGUUUUCGAGCUCGUCACGAGCUCGAGCCGAACAUGAGUCGACCUUGAAGACAUUCGAGCCGAGUUCAAGCUAGCUCCAGCUCGCUCGAGUUCGGCUCGUUUACAGCCCUAAAGCUUGGUGGUAGUUUUGGUACGCAUUCCAUGAAACGUGUGUGCGCGAGCGAGCACGCGUGCGUAUUUGGUGUGUUUUUGGGUUCACUUUUGGGUGCGCAUAAACGUGUCUACCCUCGAGUCGAUUUGCUACGGACACGUGUCGAUUCUUUUUGCAUGGACAAGUAAUUGCGAGCCCCGCCCCCUUUUUCAAAAAUUUGAUCAAAUUACUUUUAAUUUUUGACUUUUUUUAUAGCUAAAUUACACAAAAUCCUUAUAAAUAUUUACUUAUUUGCUUUUCCUUUCUAGUUUUUAAUAAUCUAUAUUUUACCUCCAUCGAUAUUUUUAAUUAUUGCAUCUAGCCCCCCUCCGCCAGGAUUUCAUCACUAUCCCGCCAAUUUCUUAUUAUUUGUACCGAAAAUACCCUUUAAAAUAAUAAAAAUAUAUUAAAAUAUUAUUUUUUAUAAAAAUAAAAUAAUUUAGUCAUUUUGCCCUCUCUAUUAACGGCAUACCCUCCUAAAAAUAUUUUCAAAACUUAAGGAGGAAAAAUAUAAAUUUUUGAAAGUCGGAAAGGAAAAGUAAAAUAGUGGAUAUUUACAGAAGAAUUUUUUGUAAUUUAAUCUUUUUCAUAAAAAUUUUAAAUAAAAAUGUAUAAAAUUUAUCUAUACUAUCUUUCAAAAUGUUUAUUUACUAUUCAACCUUUCAUUUUGUUUGAUUUAAUUUAGUCAACUAAAUAUUGACUUUAAAAUUUUAAUACAUUCCUUAUCUAUGUAAAUUUAAUUAUAUAUUUUAUAUAAUUUUUCGUAACUAUAAAUUUAUUAGAGUUAAUAAUUAGCUUAUAUUUUGAAGUCAAAGUGUAGUUGAUAGACUCAAAUCAAAUAAAUUAAAAAUUGAAUAGUAAAAUUAAAAUUUUAAAAGUUUAUCUAACCAGUUAAAAUUAUUCAUAGCUCAGAUAAAUUUUAUAUAUUUUUACCUAAAUUUUACUUAUUUAUAUUUUUUUGUAAAAAUAAAUAAUUUUUUGAAUGUUUUUGUCCCGUUUAAAUUUUAGAAAUGUGACCAAGAUAUAUCCAUUCUUUUCUUUCUUUACACUCUGCUUCCUAUCUCUGUUUCCUAUGGGAUCAUUGACACUAAUAAUUAAUAUUAAAAAUCUAAGCUGUUAAAAAUACGCAAUCAAUUUAUUUAAAAGUUAUAGACAUAGCGUCUACAGAUCUCGACUGUGACUCGAUCCAACCAGCCACGCGCUAUUUCAAAUAUAAUUCUUUUCAAUCUGAUGGCUCAUCAUUUCGAACAUGACUCGGGCCAACUAGGUCUCUCGCCAUAAACAAUAGCAUAUAUAUGUCUCGAUUGUGACUCGAUCAAACCAGCCACGCGCGCAUUUUGUACAUGAUUCGAUCCAAUCUAACCUCUCGCCAUUUUAAGCGUAACUCGACCCAACUUAGCCUCUCACCACAACAAAAGAUGAUCGCCCCUUUAAACCAAACACUCUCCGCCAUUGUCAUCCCUCCCACAUCGCUGCAGCACUCCUCCUUGCCCGCUGAAAACGUCUUUGCCCCCGCACGGACGCUGAAAGCUCCCGCAUCCUGCUCCAGAACGAGGCUCCUGAAAGCCUCGAUGUGGUGGUCGGGAUUGCCAGCGAGGCAACCGGGGUCUAGAACGGCAGCAACCUCAGCCUCGACGAGGCGACGCUCGAGUCAAGAUAGGGGGGAGUGGGGAUCAUGGAGACCCGCUUUGAAGACGAUGAGGCCGGGGAGGAGAAGGCAGAGUUGUAUUAUGAGAAUUGAUUUUGGUUAAAAACCAUAAAGUUCAGGAUAAAUAAUUUUUCCGAACUAAUUUUAUAAAUUAAAUUAUUUGACAGAAAAAAUUACUAUUUUUAAAAAAUUUUAAAUUUUAAAUUUAAAUAUAUAAAAUUUAAACUUAAAAUUUUAAUUUUUUAAAAUAUAAAUUUAAAUUUUACGUUGGAUUCAAAAUCAGAAUCAGAUUUUAAGAAACAAAUUUUAGUUGCUUCUGAUUUUAAACCUCUAAAAUCAGAAAACUGAUUCUAAAAUCAGAGUUAGAAUUUUAAAAAUAGGUUAUCCAAUACUCUAUUGAAGGAAAAAAUUAUUUUUGACUCUAAACCCACUUUUAAUUUAAGCUAAACAUCCUCCAAAGUUUUUUGUAUACAAGUACAAAGAAGCUUCCUCUCACCGUAUUUGAGUCUUCCAAAGUAGGGAUGUCAAUGAGUUGGAUUUGGGCCGGCUUUUCAAAAAUUCGAAUCCGAAUCUGAAAAUUAAAUUAAAAUUCAAACCCAAACCCAAAUCCGGCGGAUUUUAAAAUCCAUACCCAUAUUCGCCCUCGACCAAAAACCAGAAACCUGAACCCAGACCCGAACCCGGCGGAUUUUAAAAAUCCAUACCGUUGGAUGAAGAUCUAAUAAAUAAAAAUUAUUAAAUAUUUUAUAUAUUAUAUAAAUAAAUAAAAAUAAAUUAUGUAUAUAUAUAAUUUAUUCGGGUUCAGGUUCGGUUUCGGGUUCGGAUCUGGUUCGGGUCCGGAUCAGGUAAAUAUAAAAUCUAUACCCAUAUUCGUAUCCGUCAGGUUUUUAUUUUCUAUAUCUUUAACCGAAUUCAUAUCCGUUUAGCUCGAGUAAACCCGCCCCAUUCGGGUUCGGGUUCGGGUUCGGGUUCGGAUUCGGAUAAUAUUUUGGGUAUCCAUACCGGCCCAUUAACAUUCCUAUUCCACAGUGAAGAGAGAACUUCUCUCUUCAUUGCUGAACUUUUUCAUCUUCCUUUUAUUUCUUUAUUUUUUAUUAAAAGUAAAAAUAUAAUACCAUUUCAAACUAUAUUACAAUGUUUAAUAAAUUAUUACACAAUUAAAAACUAUAUUUUGUACUAUUUUAUAUAAUUUAAAAAAGUUUUACACUAUUUAAUAAGUUAUUGCACAAUUAGAAUAUCUUACUAAAACAUGUUGCAUAAUUAAAAUGCAUAAUUAAAAUAUGUUGCACAAUUAAAUUACUUCUUCUUCUUCUUCUCAUUUUGCCGAGUAGAAAAUAUUUUUUUUCCCCUUUAUUAUUGCCAGAUGACGAUGGACCGCUCCCGAGGUCGUGGAGCUCCCAGCGAUUCAUCUCCUCUUUCUCUUACCGGAACCUCGAACCUACCUGUUGCUAACAUAUGUUUCUGAAUCUAUUUUCUACUACAUUGAUCUUUUGGAUAAUAGUCUAUUAGAGCCAAUUCUAAGCUUUUUAUUAUAUGAGGUCGUGGGUUCAACCCCGCCCAUGUCUUGCUAGAGCUUUGGAUGAAUUUAAUUUAUAGUGAGUCAGAUAACAGAAGUAAAAUUUACGAUCAAAAACAACUUCAUUAACAACUUCUACACUCUCAGUGGAAGGAAACGAACAUGGUUUUAGCAGAUCACACAAGAAUUAGGGUAUUCCUCGGUCCUUUCUACAUAAUACGGUAUGACGAUAUACGGAUUAUUUCCGUAUAUUUUGACGUGCUCGGCGAUUUGGUUGUUCGGAUCCUUCUUCUUCUCGCCGUCUUUCUUGGGCUCCUUCUUGGGCUCCUCUUUCUUCUUCUCCGGCUCCUUAGCCGGACCGACGUAGGAAAUCCGAGCGUCCCAAAACUUUCUGACCCUGCCGACGACAUCCACCGGGUCAACACACCCGACGACAGUGAGCUUGUUCUCCUUCAUGUCCAUGGAGAUGGAAUCAAUCCCUGUGUUGAAUAUAAAAAUUAAAAAUAUCAUUUCUAACCGAUUAAAUUUUUGGAGAAUAAAGAUUCACAUUAUACAAUAUAAUAUCAGAGUAAGAUGUACUGAAUUCAAGUCACACUAGAGUUCUAUAAUUAUUGAUUGAUUUUCUUCUAUUUAAUUCAAGUCCAUACCGUUAAAUAAAAACAUCUUUCUUUAGAAAAAGUGCUAAAUAUAAAAAACAUAACCGUUCUUUAGUAGUUCAAAUUUUGAAGAACAAUAGUUAUUUUAUAUAAUUUAACACACUAGCUUAGCUGCACUUUCCGUCCUCGAACUAGCCUAGACUAGACUAGAAGGUGUACUAUUUAACCAGGAAACCAUUAGGUUUAAUAAAAAAUCUUAACGAGGGACCUAUUUGAAGCAAAUAAAAAAAUAUAUAAAUGAUAUUGUUUAAAUCUUUCAUAUAUGUACUUGUACUUUAAGUAUUGCAAAAUGCAAAAACUUACUCAGGAAAUCUAUAUAAAUGUUUCAUAAAAGUUUCAAAGGGCUAAAUCUCAGCAUUGCAAAAGUCCAGGAUCUCCACGUACUUUUCACCCUAAAUUCUAUUGAUAUUUGUAAAUUCAUAAGAAAAGUAUAAAUUUUACACCUUAUAUUGGGCUUGUGUUAUUAAUUUAUUUUUAAUACUAAAAAUUUAAACAACUUUAAAAUCACUGGAUGGGGGUUGUAAGAUCUAGUACCACAAGCAUUUUCUUUUCCAACUGUAGGAAAUGAGAUGGCUAAAUUGCAUUGAUGGUCCUUAAAUUAUGAAGCCUCUGACUUUUUAGUCCUCCAACUUUAAUAAGUGGUUAUGAGUUCCGCCUAAUUAUAAAUAUUUAAAAAAUUCGAACAAAAAAUUAUCAUAUAAUAAAUAAAUAAAUAAUAUGAUAUCGUACUUUUUUAUCCUAAAAAAUUUCUAAAAAUAUAGCUAUAAAAAAAUUUUCUACUUGCAUGUACAUACAUCCAAAAAGGUACAGAUACUAUAUCCUUCAUUCUAGAGCUCACGAAAAUUUAAAUAAUUGUUUUAAAAAGUUUGAGAUCAGUACAUUAAUAACUCUUAAAUGGAAUGGAUAUAAGAUGUUAUUGCUCACUAUAAAAACGUUUGAGAUCAGUACAUUAAUUGCUAUGGAUAAAAAAAAAAAGAAAAUAAUAAAUAAAUAAAUAAAUGAAGGAUGUUAAGUGGGGAAGGUGAGAUGAAGAUCGAUACCAUGAAGUUUGGAGACUGCUUUCAAUGCCUUUUGCUUCUCCACAUCGUCAUGCAAGUCCAACUUCACAAUUACCUUCUGCGCAAUUUGUUUUUAACAAGAAGCGGAAUCAGAAUCGCAAUAAAUUCAAAUUAAAUUUAUCGGAAAAGCAAAUUUUAAAAAAUAAGAUCACUAAAUUGUUUUAGGAGGGAAAACAAAAGAAAAAAUUAACCUUCUUAUUAUCUCCGGACAUUUUUGUACUCGCGGAGGCUUCAAAAGGAAGCGAGAAAGAAAAGAUGAUGACGUUGUAAUUAAGACCCAAUAUUCUAUUAUAUAUAUAUAUAUAGAGAGAGAGAGAGGGGUGUGGGGAAAUUAUUGCUUACACCUACUCCACCAAAUCAUAGUGUGAACCAGACGCGCUCAAAAGCCUAAUUUGGUAAUACCAAGGCUGAAAGGAGUAGGGCUACUGUGUUAUUAGAAGUACAGUAGUUCUUGUGCUUCUAAGUUCGUAAUUAUUCAUCAAUUUUGAUGGGUGGUUAGAGUUAAUUAAUAUCUCAUUUCUCUCAUUUCUUUUCUUAAUUUUUUCGCUCUUCGAAUUUCUCCAUAGUUUUUUUCUUUCUCUUUCACCAUAACCAGCUAUCAAAAUUAAUAGACACUUACGAACUUAAGAGCUCAAGGACUGCUAUCCUUCGAAUAGUACAGUAGCCCUACUAAUACAUAUUAUGUAAAAUUCAAAAAUUAUAAAAGUAAUUUUAUUUUCAUUUCUUUCACACUAUUAAAUUAUAAUUGCAACCGCCACUGAAGAAGUAUGAAAAAAAUUUAAAUGUUUUUAAUUUUUUGAAUCUUAUAUAUUAUAGAAUAAUAUUUUUAGCCACCACGUUAUCAAACUAGGUAUAUUUAGCUGCAAUAAAAGCUCAUGUUGGUGGAAAAAAGAGUUAAAGUUUAUAGAUAUGCUGCUACAGUGCUCAGAAAGCUCGUCUAUAACUUGGCUCAAUCUGGUCUUAUCAUGCGGCGGAAUGGGAUCGAUCCUAAUUGCCCUUCUCACUCAACAUCUAUACCCGACACUUAAUUUAAGUCUUUGUUUAGCCUAACGGUGCAGUUCGCUCGUAACCGCACUGUAUUGUAUUUUUAAAAAGCUUUGAUUCACAGUUUUCUCGAAAUCACUUUUAUUUAUCGUUAUGUAUGGAAACCACAAGUGCCAAGUGGUGCGCUUAAGAUAACAGGCCGUAACAUGGACGACACUGCGCAGCAAAACACCUAAAAAACUAUUUAUAAUUAUUUUUUAGUUUUUUUUUCUGAAAAUUUUAAAAUUUUUUUUGUGAGGUGGCCAGCAUGUAUAAGGAGUGAAAUAAACAACAGAUGGUUAGCUAGGCAAUCCAUGACAGAUAUAGUGAACCUGGUCCAGGGAAAGAAAAAAAAAACUCUCAAGAGUAAAGCUUGGGAACGAAGGAAGGUGGGGGAGAGAGAGAGUCUCAAAAAAAAAACAAAGGACAGGGACAAAAUAGUAAGAAAUUAUUACUUACACCAAGUGCAUCCCUAUCUCUCGUACACCACAAAUUGUGAUGAUUAAUAUUUUAAAAUUAAAAAUUGAAUAAAUAAUCAUGACAAAUUUAUGCUACGUGAAGGCAUUAACUAAUCCCCAAAAUCAACAACAGAGAAUUUAUUUAUUUGAUUUGUCAUAAAAUAUAUAUCUAUUAAAUUAGAUUUUGAUUCUGAGAUCGAGUUUAUGACGAGACUUAAGAAUGCGGUCAAUGGAACACCGGGCGCAUGCAAUAAUUUCUCCAAUGUGGUCGCUUUCGUUUGGGCGAUUUAGUCUAUGCAGUCUAUGGACUUAUUAUUUAUUAAUUAGCUAAAUUAAAAAAAAAUAUUUUACGUUUAUAUUAAAUAAAUUCAAAAUAAGAGAUUUCAUUUGUCUAAAUUUAAUUUUUUUUAAAAAAAAUAGAAAUUAGAUAGAUAUUGAAAUGUAGAAUAAAGUGGUAUGGCGACUUAUUUUAAUAAAAUUUUAUAAUUUUAAAAAUUAUUAGAUCUAUUUAAAAUAGUGGAAAAGUAUGGGAAGUUAAUUGUUACAAUUUUUAAGAUAAAUAAGAAAUGAUCAAAAAUGCGAAGGAGAAUUUUGUAAUUAAGCCUUGUUUAUACAAAGUCGGUCAACCAAGACUUUUGCUAUUGCUCGGUCGGCAAAGACUUUCUGUUCAUUUCUUUGCGCCAAGUGGAAGACUGUCAUCCAUAGUUUAAUGCGGGCGAAUUUUUUAUUAAUUAAUUUUUAUAGGAAGUCCGCAUUCAAAUAGCAAUGCUACUGAUAUAUUCUAAAAUAAAAUAAAAAAAUUAACGGGAAGCUUCCCAUCAACGCCUCGUUACAAAGUCUUAAUCGGUCGCCACGUAUUAUUUUUUUUUUUUAUCUCUACCAGAGGAUUAUAAUCCUUCACUCUUGUAAGAUUUAAAUUUUUUUUUAGAUUCUAGUAUUAAAAAAAAUAUCAAUGAAUUAUUGGAUCGAGGCAAAACUAAUACGUGUCAGCAGAUGGGACUCCCCAGUGAGAUGUCAUUGGAAAGCUCUGGACUGAAAUUUUAUCCAAAGUGAGGCAUAUGUAUCUUACAUCCUCUUCAUCCAAAAGUCAUUAUUUUCUAUUUUCCAUGUCAAUUCUUUCUUCUUAAACUUAUUUGAAUUUUUACGAACUUUGGGAUGAAGGUUGUAGGACCAAGCAAUCCAUUUCGUUCAUAUUUUAAAAAUAAACUUUACUAAAAAUGUGAAGCAAAUGUUGAACUUUAAACCUUUGAAUACCAACCGUCAAGUUCUUAACCAAUUACCGACCGUCCCUAGAGCAAGUGGCAAAGGGCUUGAUGGUUGGUACCCGAGAUCCAAGUUCGAAUCCUAGUUGAUUCACAUUUCUAGCUAAGUUUAUUUCUAAAUGAAAUAAACGAAGCGGGUAGCGUGUUACCUAUCUCUCAAAAAAAAAAAAAAAAUUCUUAACCAAUUGCAAUAGAAACGGUCGGUAUCUAUAUUUAUAACAGGGGUAUAAAUUUUGCAUCCUAAUUAAUCGUUAAAAAACUAAAAUUUACGCACUUGUCUUAUUAUUAUUAUUUUUUUUAGAAACAAUUGCCUAUAUACAACUAUGCACAAACCUGCUUUUAAACUAACCCUUCAAAAAAUCCAAAUUCUUUCAAAUAAACCUUAAAAAUAGGGGCUAUGUAAGGGGAAUAAAAAAGAUAAAUUUUUUAGAAGUACAAUUGAAACAAAGGAUAAAUAAAAAAAAUAGAAAUGUUACAAGAAUACAAAGAUAAUUUUCUUUUUUUUUUUUCAAUGUUAAAAACUCAAAAGAAGUUUGUAACUCCUAGAAUGAUAAGAUGUGAGAUAUACACUCCAUAAUAGAGUGUAUAGAUAGCAUUUUACUUCCAAUAAAAUUGAACCAAUUGUAGAUUUUUAUUUUAUCGAUUUAUUUAUUACUUUGGAGUCCUCACAAGAGAAUUAAUUUUGAGUAGAUUUGGAUGAUGGUAUUUUGCGAAACAUAGUAAUUUACUUUAGUGAAAGAUUCAACCACUAAUUAAGGACUCAUUUCGUAUUGAACACUGCUGCAUUGUGGAAUGAAAAAAUGUUAGAACGAAAUCAUAUAAAUUUUAUGUUGCUAUGUUUGUUAGUUAAAUCAUAAAAAUAUAUUUUAAAUAUUACUUAUGAAAAAAAAAAAGCAUAUAUCCUUUGUACUUCUACUGUAUUUCAAUAACGUUCGAAUCUAUCAAAGUCUGAGAUAUAAUAUUUAUAUUAGAGCGAUACAAAACUCUCUUUUUUUUAGAGAGCGAACAUAUGUAUACAAUUUUGAAAAAUGUGUUGGAUCGUCAAAAAGAAUUUUCUGUAUAUUUUUGACAUUGCAAAUUCAUAUGGCAUUUUGGAGUACAAUUAUAAACAAAUUUAAAAUUUUCAUGCUGAAUGUCAACUCAUUAACAACAUAUAAAAAUAAUAUUCAUUAAUUACAAUAAAUAAAAGAAAAAACUUCAAAUAUCACCCAUGUGGUUUCACACGAUCUCACUUUAGUGCCCUGUGGUUUAAAGUGUAUCAAUUUAGUGCUCUAUGAUUUCCUUUUUAUCUUUUCAUUAUCGGUUCCACUAAUUUUCUUCAUUAAAUUAGUGACAAAGUUAAAACUAAAGAGUACUAAAAUGAAUAUUCAAUAAAUCUAGAUGGGGUAUCUGAAGUUUUUUGUAUAUAAUUUAACGAAAUAUUAACGAAAAAACUGACGAAAAGAUAAAAAUGAAACCACAUGAUACAUUUUAAACCACAGGAUACUAAAGUAAGAAAGUGUGAAACUACAGGGGUGGCAUUUGAAGUUUACUCUAAAUAAAAUUGUUCAGGUAGGAAAACUAAGCAUUCUAAAUUUCGGAUGGUGAAGUACAAAUUGGUUUCGAAUGGUUUAAACUCUUUUUUUUUUUCGUUUGGUAUAAAAUUCGUAUAAGCAUUUUUCUAACAUUUGCUCAUACGAAUCAAAAAUCAGAUCUUCUAUAUUUUUUUUUUUUGAGGGAAAGCACGCUCGAAGGCGAAUUUAUUUAUCAAACGGGAGGUACAACUUGAGAGAAAUCAUCUACCGAGGACCAAAAAGGCAGUUUGUUGCUAGUGAGCCCCCAGUUGGCCAAUCGAUCUGCAACUACAGCAUUUUUAGAGAAUCUUGAAGACCAUCUAUAGCUAAAUUGAUUGGAACUUUCAAAAAAAAGUCCGAAGAUCCGUGAUUCUUGUUCGAGCUUCAACUGUUAGCGAAUUUGAAUGAUAGCUCCUAAGGUACAAGGCUUUAAUAAUGGGCGCUGAAUCUGAGUAGAUAUGAAAAGUUUCUCCUGAAUACCUUUGCAACAAAAGAUUUGUCGCUCGGGAAAUUGCUCCAAUUUCCGCAGAGCAAGCGUCAUAGACAUCCUUUAGUACAUUGGAUAUACACAUAAUAAUUCCAUGCUGAUUGGCGAUUAGGCCUCCUACUCCACCUGUAGUGCCACCUUUCCAACUCCCAUCCACCCAUACAUGUAAGGAAAAUGUCGCAGGUUCUUGAAUCAAAGUUGGGUCUUGAAUGCUAAUCCUCAUCAUAUUCUCUUUAGAAUAUAAGGUCGUCCAGCUGCGAGCCCGUGAAAUGAUGGUAGUAAUACUGAAAAUUUUUCCUUCAAAAAUCGUCUCAUUCCUUCCUUUCCAUAAGCUCCAUAACAGAUGAACACAGAAAGCUCUAUUGAUCGUCAUGACUUUAUUAGUUAGGAUAAAGAAAAUCCAAAAAGACAGAGGCCUAUCCGCAUUAUCAAUUAUAAGGCCGAUACUGGAUGCGAACUAGACACGUCGUAUUUGCUCACAAUUAAAGAAUAAAUGUACCAACGUCUCAACAUUUUGGAAAAGUAAAACGUCAGCAUCAAAGAAUUAAUGAGAAUUUGGAAUGCUUCUUGGAUACAAUUAUAUGUUCACUAGUUGAAAAUGAAACCACAUAUAUGAUUAUGGAGAAAAAAGAAUAUUUCGGGUUUAAUGCAAGAAAAAAAAAAAAAGGUGAGAGAGAAAAUAAAUGAAAAACAAAGGAGAAAUACAAUAACAUACCUCUAUUGAUAUUUAUAAUUUAUAAUCUAUAAUCAAUAACAGGAGUGAGGCUACUAUGCUAUCGGAAGCACGGAGCCUUCCGUGCUUCCAGCUCGUUUUUGAUGUUGCGACUUUCGAAUCGUCGAUCGGCUCCGUUAAACUUGAUCUAGAGUAUUUAAAGUAGCUAGAAAAUAAAUUUUAUGAUUUUACGAUAUCAUUUGCCUAGUGAACGAAGGGGCUCAAAAUCAACGGCUGAAAAUAAAAAUCUUACAAAAUGUAAUAAUAUGACAUUAAAAUUUUAAAUCAAAGAUAUUGAUCUUUUUUUAUAUAGUAUAAAGAAUUUUCUAUCAAAAUUUCACGUGAUUUGGAUAUUUCUACACCGUUAAACUUGCAAACGGCUCACUACGGCCAUUGAAAUUUGUUGAUUUUGAGCACAUUCGAUCACUAGGCAAAUGAUAUCGUAAAAUCAUAAAAUUUAUUUUCUAGGUACUCCAAAUACUCCAGAUCAAGUUUAACGGAGCCGAUCGACGAUUCGAAAGUCGCAACAUCGAAAACGAGCUAAAAAUAUGAAAGGCUCCGUGCUUCCGAUAGCAUAGUAGCCUCACUCUAAUAACAGUAUGUGAAUUCU
RNAcentral lists this long non-coding RNA (46729 nucleotides) under Ananas comosus (pineapple). RNAcentral's name for it is "long non-coding RNA (ACOM_LNC002317)". Lineage: Eukaryota; Viridiplantae; Streptophyta; Magnoliopsida; Poales; Bromeliaceae. The record is from RNAcentral.